This 84991-nucleotide long non-coding RNA is filed under the name Fragaria vesca (wild strawberry). Its description in RNAcentral is "long non-coding RNA (FVES_LNC005552)". Lineage: Eukaryota; Viridiplantae; Streptophyta; Magnoliopsida; Rosales; Rosaceae. The record is from RNAcentral.
UUUUAUUACAAACUUUAGCCGACGAAAUAUGGUCAAUUAUUCGUCGGCUAAAGUCGUAAAAUAACCGACGAAUUCCUUAAAUUCUUCGUCGGCUAAACUCUAGACUAUAGCCGACGAAUUUAUUAAAUUCUUCGUCGGCUAAAGUCUGCACUAUAGCCGACGACGUUUUUCGUCGGCUAAAUUUUGGACUAUAACCGACGACAUUAUUUCGUCGGCUAAAGUCUAGACUAUAGCCGACGACUUCUACAUGUGUCGUCAGCUAAAGUCACCACAGACGAGCUUUUCUCGACGAAAUCUUAGCCGACGAAAGGUCGUCGGCUAAGAUCUUAGCCGACGAAUUAAGCUGACAUGCCGACGAAAAAUUUUCGUCGGCUAAAGUGCUUGUCCUGGUAGUGAGUUAGCGCGUGCUGACAUAUGAGAUAUUGCACGAAAAAUUAGAGUAGCGACUGCGUGACCUUGGAGUUGCGAGGCAAGUUCAAGAAGAUCGUUGAAGACUUUCCGACCUCGAGAUAUGACUAUUGGGGGGAGAAGUGCUUCUUGGUGGGUGGCUAGUGGCAGGAGCUUCAUGGCCACCCUUUUCCCAUGACGAGGAGUUUCCAGCAGAUAGGUACUAACCUCACUGUUUUUCAUUUGUAUUGUUGGUCUCGUUGUAUCAUGUGUUGUCUCUAACUCUUGGGUGUUUUUAUUACAGGAAGAGUAUGAGCUAACCGAGUUGUUGGAGUGGCAGAUCAAGCUGGUUCUAUGGACUUUUGGGGAGGCGAGUGCGAGGAGUUCCUACCGGAUAACCUCACUGUUUUUCAUUUGUAUUGUUGCUCUCGUUGUAUCAUGUGUUGUCUCUAACUCUUGGGUGUUUUUAUUAAGGGAAGAGUAUGAGCUAACCGAGUUGUUGUAGCGGCGGAUCUAGCGGGUUCUUUGGACUUUUGGGUUUUGGGGAGGCGAGUGCGAGGAGUUCCUACCGGAUAUGCUGGCUAGGGAUCUAUAACCAUUUUUGCUAUUUCAAGGUCUUGGGUAUGCGUCUAACUGUUUUUUAAUUUUUUUAUAUAUAUAUUUUUUUAUUGUUGUGUUGAUUCUCAAUGUAGAAAAAGGACGAGGAAGCCCUUAUGACAAGAUCAAUGACGAGGAAGCCCUCGCAGGAUUUCGUGAGGAAGGUCAUCUUGGGCACCGCUUUGACAUUGAUUUGGAGUCUAGCGCGGCAUUGGAAGUCGAUCUCAGGGAGAACGACUAUUUGACGCUGAAUCUUCAAGAUAAAGAUUAUACUCAUACAUCUUCCAGCUAAGGUCACCGCACCGAGGGGAAUAGGGGAGGAGGUUGACAAGAAAGUAAACGAUACCAUGGACCUAGGGUAUGGGGAGGAACCUGGCCAGGAAGAAGAGCAGAGGUAGGGGUUUGGUCGUGAACAAGUAAUUGUGAGGAAGCUACAUGAGGAGGCAACGAAGCAAGUGUGUGGUGAGCAGCAGAGGUUUGGUGAACAUGGGGUGCAUCUAGAUUGUGAAUAUGUGACUCAGCUGUUGGGUGGGUCGCAUGAGCCAGAUUGGGUUCAAGAAGAUUUUACAUACCGAGAUUUGCCUUGAUGAGAUUGAUCUUGACUUCUUGAGAGAUUUCACCUCAAGGUAUUUUUCCUAAAUAGGUUGUGCGCCUCUUAAGUAGGCCAUUUCUUAACUAGAAACUAUACUAAAAAUAUUAGGGACAAGGCCCACUAGACCUAAUUUUAAGAAUUUUAUUCUCACUAACAAAAUCAGAUUUUAAAAUUUUCAAGAGUCAACUUAGACAACAGAAAGACAAAUAUACCCUUAAUGAAUUAAAUAAACUACAAUAGACCAUUAUAAGAGUCUAUUAUAAAAUAAAGUUUCUAUAACCGGAUUCCUACUACAAAUAACAUUGACCGGGCUCCGGGGCCGUUGACUGGACUCCGAUGACUGUUGACCGGGCUCUGGCGACCGUUGACCAGACUCCGACUGCCGUUGACCGGACUCUAAAAAAAGGUAAGGGAUCUAUUGGGGGCAGUAGAGGGUUUGUCGGGGGGUAUAUUGGGUGCAGUAGAGGGUCUUUUGGAGGCAAUAUGCAUGAGGUAUGUCUGGGGGUCUACUGGGGGUAGUAGGAGGGUCUACUGGGGACAGUAGGAGGGUUUAUUGAGGGCAGUAGGGGGUUCAUCGGGGUGUCUAUUGGGGGCAGCAGGGGGUUCGUUGAGGGGUCUAUUGGGGGAAGUAGGGGUUUCGUCGGGGGUUCUAUUGGGGGUAGUAGGAGGUCAUGUCAGGGGUCUAUUGGGGCAGUAGGAGGUUCGUCAAGGGUUCUAUUAGGGUCAGUAGGACCUCCUAUUGGGGGCAGUAUGACCCUUGAACUUAACUGUGCUUUCAAUCACUUAUAACAGGUCCAUACUAGGGGCAGUAGGAUCACCUACUGGGGUCAAUAGAACCACCUACUGGGGUCAGUAGGACCUCCUACUGGGGUCAGUAAGACCCUUGUAUUUAAGGGUGUGCUUCAGUCACUUAUAAAUGCAGGUAUAUCUACACUUCAGUUUUUAUGUAAAUGCAGCUGCUAUAAGCUUAAAAAAACCAAGUAAUCAUCCAUCAAACUCAACAAUCACAACCAAAACUCAACAAUUACAUGAAUUAAUGUACCUAUCCUACAUGGAUGCACUAAAGAAUUGAUUUACCAUUACCAAUCACAACAAAAAUAUUCCUACAGAAAUGUAUGAACAUCAGAAGUCUUCACAUUCUCAAUCCCACCUUGCUACUCCAAGCUAGCCUUCCAAGUCUCUGCAAUCUCCUGGACUUCUCAAUCUUGGGAUCAACCACCACCGAAAUCAGCGAUUCCAACACCAGAUCACAAACCAACCCCAAAUCAUUCCCCUUGUUACAAAUCUUCGAUCUCUUGUCCAUCGGAAACACUUUCGACGUCGCCUCAAGCACAAACCUUGUCGGAUCCAAGCAUUCUUUAGUACAUAAAACCAAAAAUAUAACUGACAGAGAAAAAAAAAACAAGAAAUAUUCGAAAAAAAUGCAACCAGAAAAACCUUCUCAAUCUCUUGUAAGCACUCAAAAAGUUCAUUACCCAAAAGGGAACAUGUUUUAAAUCACUCUAGCAAGGUCCAAUUGCAUUCACAAUGACUAAUACAUAUGUAAUCCUUACUUCCCAGUGGUUAGGUGUGCACUGCCUAGUCACUAAAGAGUAAGGGAAGCCUAUUAUAAUUUGCAGUUCACUAUUGUAUUUCACUAGUCAACUUUAUCAAACCUUCCAUAAAACAAUUGAAGGUACUAACACACACCUUGAAAAAUCGGAACGAGAUCGGAGGAGAGGGCCACCAAAUCGAAUUCGGAGAAGAAAAUCGGAGUCGAUGGCUACCAAAUCGGCCGUCGUCGGUGAGGCGCCAUCCUCAAAGGUGUCGUCGGUUGUCGUUGAGAUGUGAGAGAAGAGAGAGACGAUGUGGGGGACGGUGGAGGCUGUGUCCCGAUGGAGGCCUGGUUCGGCUAGGCCGCGCUUGGUUCAGACAUCGUCGGAAGUAGCCUGGUUCAGAUCUCGUCGGUCGGGCUUGACUCGGAUGUCAUCGGAGGCGGCCUGGUGUCGUCGUCGUGGGCGGAGGCGACCUGGUGUCAUUGUCGUUGGCGAAGGCGUGGUGUCGUCGUCGGAGGUGAUGGCCUGGUGUGUGUGUGUGAGAGAGAGAGAGAGAGAGAGAGAGAGAGAGAUGUGUGUGCGUGUGUGAGAGAGAAGAUACGAAAUAAUAAAAGAGAUAAGGAUUAAUUUAGGCAAGGAAAAAUAGUUAAAUUGCUGACUAACUUUUGUUAAUGGGAACUCUAAGAGUGUUAGGGUGAUGGCACUAUGCCAAUAACAUCAUCAGACGACACAAGAGGCACGACAUAUAAAGCAGCAUUUGAAACAAGUAUCGUCUGAUUGGGUUUUUUUGUGGUUUUUUAGACGACAUAUAAAAUGUAAAAUUGUCACAUCCCGACCCUUAAAUUUUUACCUUAUUUACUAGCUUGGUUAUAAUAAGAAUUUUACCGUCUCCGUCAUUGAGGUAAUAGUUUAAUCGGUCCCUAGAGGUGUUUUGAGGGACGAUUAAUUUCAGGGAAUUAUUCGUGGGAGAAAAUAUGACAACGGUAAAAAUGGUAAAUUUUAGCUAGUAAAAGGUAAUUUUUAGUCGGGUAUUAUUUUUCGGGGUGUUUUAUUUUGGAUUUGGGUGGUAUAAGAAGGUUGGACCGGGCCAAGGGGUGGUCAAAGCCCAGCCCUUUUUCUCUCUCUCUCCCUCCUGGUUUUCCCGCACCCGAGCCCUCUCUCCCCGCCGAUUUUCAUCUUGGAUGUCCGCUGCCGUCCGGCCACCAACCGCCGCCGCACCGGUCCCGUUCGGUCAGCCUCCGACCUAGCUACAUCCCUAGACCGGUGACAGCUCCCCUAGCGCCGCCGUGUGGAAGAUAUCGGGCUCGAGAGGUCCGACUGUGUUAAGCCUCCCAACGCCGGAACUCCCUCCUCCGGCCACCAAAACCGACGAUCCAUGGCUCAUUUUGUAGCCCUCCUCCCGUGCAGCAACCCCUCCAAAUAGCUCACCCUCUCUUGAGCUAGGUAAGGAGAAAGGUGAAGUUGAAGUUGAAAUUCUAGAGCGUUUUUUAUGUUUUUAGUCGAUUACCCUAGUUAGGCUUGGAAUUGGUGUUUGUGCUAGUUAGGAAAGUUGUAGAGCAUGAUGAGUGGAUUAUUCUGUCAAAAUUUCAUAGGCAUUGGAGGUCGCCGGGAUCGGCCUCCGGCCGCCGCUGCUGGCGGAGCCGGCGCCGGCGCCGCCACUGUUUGGAAGAUUUUUAGGGUUUUAAAUUUAGAAUAUUAAGGGGAGUUUGUUGAAGUGAGUUAUGGAAUUUUUGGAUGAGUUUUGGAUAGGUUUAUGAAUUUCCGAAGUGUGGUAUUUUUGGCGGUUAAUUAAUGUAGAAUCCGGCCGUAGGAUUUAAGUCGUAUUUUUGGGGUGGUUGUAAUUACGGCUGCCGAGUAUGAUAUUUAAGUUCGGAUCGUUUUGAUUUAAGAAUAUCGAAGUUAGGCAAUGAUGAGCGUAGUUAUGGCUCUCGGUUAAUUUUGCCUAUUUUGUUUAAAUAUUGGAGUUUUAGUUGGGAAAUUAAUUUUAUAUUUGUGCCAGGGUUCGAGGAAACCUCUCUGGAGUGGCGAUUUGGAUUUCGUCGGGCUUAUGCCUAGAGUUGUGAGUGGACUUUGGUUUUAAAUAAUAUGCAUGCAAUGGUUCAUGAAUGAACAAUUAAUGUCGUGGAGCAUUUUGACGUCAUUUUAAUUUUUGACAAUUUUAUUUCUCUUAGAGAGUAACUGAAAAUGAGAUUUUCGGUGGAUAUAAAUAUGUAAUUAUGAGAGAGUAUGUAUAUAACAGCUAGCUAGCCCUAUGUGUCUGUCCACCUUAAUGGCGUAGCAUAUAGCCGUAUUAUGGUGUGACGUGAGCGUUAGACGCGAGCGUUAGACGCGAGCGUAGUAGCCCUAUAUGAGUGUUUAAUUCAUAUAGGGGGUAUGGACACAUAUUUAUACACCCGUCUGUCCACCUUAAUGGCGUAGUGUAGCACUGUAUUAAGGCGUGACGUGAGCGUUGGACGCGAGCGUAGUAGCCCUAUAUAGACCCAUGAAUUUAUAUAGGGAGUAUGGACGUGUGUAAAUACAUACAUAUAUUAUAGAGCCUGAGAGACUUGAUAUUUAUGAGAUAAAAGUUUUAUCGCUGGUAGCAUGCAUUCGAUUUUCCUUGGAAAUUGAUUUGGAGAAACAUAAAUAUUUUAUUCGUUAAUUUAUUUUUGUCCACUCACUCUAACGUUUUCAAAUGUUUUCCCCUAGGCCUUUCGUUUUAAAAAUACCCAGCUUGCAGAUUAGCUUAGUUGAGGUCGGGCGUACAUGGAGAUGAGGCAUAGUCAUCAUAUAGCUUCCGCUUGUUAAUUUAUUAUGUUUCCUUUCUUCCUAUUAGAGUUGCUCUAAACCUAUAAAUGGUUGGAUAUGAGAUUUGUUUAGAUUAGUAAAUAAAUUGGGUGGUGUUGUGAUUUGGGGAGCACAAAGGCUCCAGGAGUUUAAGGUCGGAUUUAAAUUUUCAGAAGUGUUUGCAGGUAAUAUUAGGAAGGGUAGUCCAUUUUCAAUGGAGGUUAUGCCGAAUUUUCGGUAAACUUUCCUUGGAGGUGGUCCCCGCAUGAUUUACUUCGGGUUUCAGAAUGAAAUUCGGGGUGGGUCAUGACAAUGCAUGCUCCAAAGUUUAAUUAAUUUCAAAGGCAUAUUGGAGAUUUAAUGUGUCGUGAGCAUAUUGAAGUUUUAUUAUUUUUCAUUGGAUUUAAUGAGUUCCAUUUAUUUUCCGGGAACUCUCUUGCUCAUUUUAUUUGACAUGUAGGACAUGUCAAGUGAUUUAUAUUAUUUUUGGGGAAGUGAUAUUUUUGAUCAUUUAUUAUUUUACUUCACCAUAAAAGGGUUGAUUUAUAUUGAUUAUUGCUAGCUAACCUUAUUAGCGGUCCUCUUCAUAUGUGAGUCGCUAUUAUAGCCUUAUUAGCGGUCUUUUUCAUAUGUGAGUAGAGCGCGUAGUGUGGGACGCUAUUAUAGCCUGGGAAGCAACCGAUCGGUAUAUAUAUAUUUAUUGUUAGCUAGCCAUUAUUUAGCGGUCCUCAUCAUAUGUGAGUUGAGCGCUUAGCGUGGGACGCUAUUAUAGCCUUAUUAGCGGUCCUCAUCAUAUGUAAGUAGAACGCUUAGCGUGAGACGUUAUUAUAGCUUAGGAGGCUCAUAGUUAUGGUGAAACCUCUUCCCCAUAUUUUAUUGAUUUAUUAGGAACCAAUGGGAUUGGUUCAUUCUUUUGUCUCUAUAUAUUUUCGGGAAAAUUUCCAAGAGUGGCAUGCAUAAAUAUUUUCUCAAUGGAAAAUAUGGGAAAAGCAUUAAAUUGAUUUAAAUGCUCUAUCAUUGAGUCCAUAUUUUAAUAUUUAUUUUUGUCCACUCACUCUAACAUUUUAAACGCUUCUCCCCUGGGCCUUUCGUUUUAAACGCCCAGUCUGUAGAGUUCGGUUCGGCGAGGGUAGGAGACGAGUCAUAUUUCCCACCUCAUCCAGUUUUCUCUCAUAGGUUACUAGUUUAACUUACCUUUGUAUUUUCUUCUUUCCUAGUAGUUGCUCUGAUAAUCAUGGGAUGGUUUAAGUGAUAUUAUUGUUGUAGUUGUUGUGUGUUACGAGCUUGUGACUCCACCUAGGAGUGUUGUAAAAAGGUUUAUUUGGUAUGUUGUAUGAGAGAUUAAAUUCAUGAAAAUAUUUUGAAUUAUUAUUUCAGUUGAGGUGGUGGAUGAUUAUUUAGGGGAGCAGAUGGCUCCAGAAGAUGUGGAUUAAAUUGUUUUAGAAGUGUUUGGGUUGUUGAUGAUUUUUCUUUCAGGUAAGGUUACCCAUUUUCAAGGCAGGUUAAUUUCGGUAGAAUUUCCCUUGAGGUGGGUCCCGCAGGGUUUAUCCCGGAUUUCAAGGGGAAAUCCAAGGUAGGUCCUGACAACUAGUGUAUUUUUUUGCUUCCUUUAGUCUAGUAGCUCUGAUUACCUUAGGAAUACUGUAUAAUAUUUGGUUGUAUGCUAAGAUUUAUGAUUAUAUUUUAGAAAUAUUUGGAGGUUGACGUUUAUUUUAUCUUAGGAUGUUUAAGUGUUGGAUUUAGAGAUGUUUUAGCAAUAUUUGUGAUGGAUGUGUUUGAGGGGAGCGGAUAACUCUAGAAGUUGAGGAUGGUUGGGUUAAGAUAGAAGUGUUUAUCUGAAUUUUUUUCAGGUUAGAGUUGUCCAUUUUUAGGAAAGGUUAUGCCGAAUUUUUGGUAAAUUUUCCUUAGAAGUAGACCCCGCAUAAUUUACUUCGGGUUUCUGGGUGAAAUUCGGGGUGGGUCUUGACAACCAGUUUAUCAAACGGAGGAAAAUCAAAAUAGUGAGAGUCAACGAAAUCCGAGGGUCACCAUUAGAAGUUCACUAUUUGAUGACUUUCUUCUCACGUAUUAUCAUGUAUAAUAGCAACUACGUAUCAACUCAAGUCGAUGAACAAGAAUUUUCAAGUAACGGCCCCGCCAUUACGCAUAACAUUAAGAAAAAUCAUCGCUGGGUUAUACUUCUUCGGCAUAACUAUGCAUUGCUAACAAUACCAAGGGUCACGAAACCUACUCGCGUUUCCUGAGUAGAGCUUUGCCCAUGAAUUUCUCGUUGUCGUUAACAAAUAUCGUAGUCCCAUAAGUGAAUCGUACAAAAUAAUAGCUGCCAAAGUACGGAAAUUCCCGCAUCAACUCUAAAGUCAAAUCACCUUAGUUACCAAUAGGAUAACCAACCAUACUAACCAACAAAAUAAAAAAUUCUGAGUUGACCGAAUCAAGUAUCAGCAUAGCUGAUGUUGGCUGCGAGUCUAUCGAACAACACUAUGUAGUCCUCUCUUGCUGCCCCCAUAUGAUGUAAAGUGAUUCCCUUUCUUCCAUUUGAUUGCUAGAUUAGACUAGCUUGAUCAUGCAGGUUCAUAAUGUCCAAGGAAGAUGAGAGCACAAUACUAGAGUCUAACACUCAAGUUGCCGAAUGACAGGACCCACCCUGAAUUUCAUCCUAAAAUCCGGGGUAAACCCUGCAGGGUCCACCUCAAGAGAGGUUUUACCAAAAAUUUCGACAUAACCUUUCUUGAAAAUGGAUAACCCUACCUAAUCAAAACUAACCUGCAACACAGUUCUAAAAUUAUACUCCAACCUUAUACUCUUGGAGCCUUCUUGCUCCCCAAGUUCAACACAUCACCCAAAAUAUCAAAUACUAAUUUAAAAGAAUCCCACUUCCAACAACAAAGACAUUCAAGAAGUUUACUAACUUGAUUAUUAGAGCAUAACAAUGAAUAAAGAAUAAGCGGAACCAGCCUCUGACUAUGCCUCGACUCUAUGUAUGCUCAACCUCAAAUAAACUUAGCCUGCAAACUGGGCAUUUGAAACCAAAGGGCCCAGGGAAAAAUAAUUUAAAACGUUAGAGUGAGUGAACAAAAAUAAAUAAAUAAAAGGACAUAGGAUAAGAAACUAAAACUUAAAUACUUUACCACUUUCCAAUAAGCAAUAAAUCUGUUGCAUGCAAGUGUUGAUAACGCCUUCAAAAGAAAAUCCCAAAAAAAAAGGGAACAACAAUAAGUAUUCAUAAAGACUUUUGUAAAAAGGAAUAUCAAAAGGACUAGCCCCGCUAGUCAAGACAACAACAAUAAAUAAGCAGCAAAUAUAACCAUACAAGUGAGCCUGCCAGGCUCGGGUGCCUCCCAGGCAAAAAUACUCCCAUACUCCUUACACCUUCACGUUAUAAUAACAGAGAGGGUGCAGGGCUUGCGUGAUGUCGUCGACCACAUCACAUCACCCGAAGGCGGAAAGGGCUUGAGUAACCCCACUUAAAACGUGGAAGCCACAUCGCCUCAAAAGGCGGAACAAUAUGCUAGCAUUAGUAAUAUAUUAUCCGACAAUUAUGGCAUAAAUAAAGAAACAUAUAUCCAUGUGAGUUUCUCCAAAACUCAUAAUUAAAGUAUAAGUACGAUUCCCAACCGUACUCAAGGAAUUCAAAGAGCAAAGAAAUUAAUUAAAUUCAACGACGUGUUCCACACGUUAAAAUGCUCAAAGAAAUAAUUAAUUUAAAUAAUUAUCAUCUUUCGAAAACCAGGCGAUAUGCAAAUCUGGAUAUAAUUUUAAAUCCAGAAAUCAUAUAGAAUAUCAAAAAUCAAAUACCAAAUCUCUAACCCAAGCUCAAAUCCAUAAGUUCAUUAUCGAAAAUAUAACCAAUAUGUCAAUCUCAAAUAAAUUCCAUAAAUCAUUGCAAAGAUUAAUCAAUGCAUCAACCAUCAAAUAAAUUCAAAGACCAUUUCAUAAGCCGAAAUUUCAAUUUAAGCUUGGAAAAUAUAAUGGGCAACUUAUAAAAUCAUGCAUGCAUAUUAAUUUAAAACCAAAAUGUCCACUCACAAUGAUUUGGCAGAGUUAGCCGGUAUGUCGUGCUAAGACUUCACAAGUCAAGAUCCUCCUCUCGAUUUUAAGAAUAUACGAUAGAGACCUUAAUAAGAAACUAAACUGUAUAAAUAAUUGCAUGACAAAACCCCUUCUCACAUUUGCCAAUUACUAACUUAUACAUAACACAAACCAUUCCAAUUUUAUUCCUUCACUAAUUAUACUUACAUAACAACCAACAGACUUCUAAAAUAAAGUUCACCCUCACCUCAUUUAAAAGCUCAAAGUGGAACUCUAUAAUUUACUCUCAGCACCUACAAGGUGUUUAGCUGCACUAACACUUUCAUCGCCACGUACCUUGCCAAUUUCAUAUAUCAACCAUGAAUGAGAAACAAACCCAAAGCCAUAAACCAAAUUCGUAAACUCAGCAGCUGCUCACCUUAAUAUCAAAAUCCUAAAAAAUGAUCCCAGCCUCUCCAAAGAAGGACUCGGCAAUCUGCGGCCAAAUGAACCAAAAGAGGAUAUGAACCUGAGGUUCAUUCCUCUACCACUAAUGCAGUAGCUCUGCCCAAUUCUCCUUUCAACCUCUUCUUUCCUAUUAGUGAAAAUAACAUAUCUAGGUCACCCAAAACAACAACCCAACAACCAACUCAUAAACAACUCAAAUCCCAGAAUCUUCAUAUUUUCAAGAACACAUAUUCCCCAAAGUUGAACCGAGAAGGGAAGUCACUUACCCAGACUUCCGAGGCUCAAGGAGAAGGUAGCCAAUCCAAUGGUCGGCGGCCGGAUGAAACUCAGAGCCGUCGUCGAUGUUAUCGGCGGCAGCAAACUCGGAAACCAUAAAACCCAAAUUGUUAAGUUGUACUCAAAUCAAAUAUCUAAUAACACAGGCCUGUAGAUCUAGUCAAGGAGAAGAAGAUUCUCACCACACACACAUGAAUCGGUCACCAGAAAAUGCAGAACCCGAGCUCUUCUUUUCAUUUAGUCUCCUUUGAAUUGGGUUACAUGUGUGAUCUAAGGACUGGGUUUUGUAGAUGAGAAGAAGAGGAAGAGUUUGGUGGCGGUCUUGCAUUCUAAAAUGGCCGGAAUCGGCGGGAGAGCGACAAAGAAGAUGGCGGCGGCGGAGAGAGAGAGGAGAGUCGGGAGAGAGAAGAAAAAUGCAGAAAAAGUUUGGGCUUUUGACUCCAAACUCUGACCCAAUCCACACCUAUAAAUCCCCUUCAAAAAUAAAACACCCCAAAAAUAAUACCCUACUAAAAAUUAGUUUUUUACUAGCUAAAAUUUACCCUUUUUACCAUCAUCAAAUAUUUCUCCUACGAAUAAUUCCUCUGAAAUAAUCGUCCCUCAAGACCCCUUUAGAGACCUUUGAAACUAUAAACUCAUUGACGAAGACAGUAAAACUCUUAUUAAUACCAAGCGAGUAAAUAUAGUAAAAUUUAAGAGUCGGGAUGUGUCACCAAAACUGCUAGAUGCCAAAGAUAAAUACUCUUCGUAGAAUGCCGAAUUGUUCUAAUACGUACAAUAACCAGGACGCCUUUCUCGAUAAGAUAUGACUGAUCAGCAAACCUGUGUUGAUCCGCACCCUGCAAGGCCCGACUCUACAACUCAUGUCGAAAAUUUACGUAUGUCUAGAACAAAUCGGUCUUAGAACGCUCCGAGAUAUUGACUAUACUCUUCGAUCGCCACGCUGCUCUAGUAGUUUCCUCAAAGAAUUUAGAGUCUAAAAACGCGCUCUAGCAACAAGUCACACACUCUACACAUAAGUGAGACACCCCGAAUCUCCUCGAUUCAUGUGCUAACCCUUGAGCAACGCGCAAUUGACGGUCGCAUGCUCCAUCUCAAGAUUGUGCAUCAACCACAUCAUCGUCUGUGCAAUGCUCAAAUGGAAGCACGGGAUUGCUCGAAUCUGUUAGAGCCUCGACAACCACUUCAAAUCCCAACCAGUCAAAUUCAUCACUAUAACAGUCUCCAAUCAGAAGCUAAAUUUGUGGGAUAGGCUACCUCAAGAUCUACAUCUCACUCAUUCUCUUAAGAAGUAUCUGCAUCAGCUAACAACAAUAGCUAAAACGAAGAACAAUUAUUACAAGAUCAACAACUCCAACCACACCGCUCUAUCCUUGUGUAUCGUCAUACACACUGUCACUCCAAAUUUAUCCCGACACUCCUCUCCUAACAAUUUCACAUUUCGAUGUAAAGAACACCCUUAUGGAUAACCACGCCACACCUAACUUCUUGAUUUUUUCAUUCUAGCGAUCAACGUCGCUGGAGAUUAGAGUUACCUAGAACCUCCUAAAAUUCUCAACAUGUUUCUUCACUUCUCGCCCUGUAACUGAAAUACUCAAAGAUAAGAAUGAGUUGGUUUAGGGACUAGUGAUACGAAACUUCUUUACUACCACUAAGCGUCCAAAGCAUUUCUACGACUCCACUUGCUUUACCAAGUUCAGUUAUCUAUCAACAAACAUAUUGCUUAAAACAAAUAAGUUCAACAUCUCCACGCAACAGCCUCAAAUAACAAUUAGAAUGCCCAAUGACAUCAUGAAUUAAAUUCUCCAUUUGCUGCCGUAAAGUCAAAACAACCAUAACCAUCUCGCAUCCGCUUCACCAUUAUAUACCAACGCCAUUACACUUACAAUCCUUCCAAAACACUCAACGCAAAUAGGUGAGCAAAUCCCAGAUUUACAGAUACCAAACGUAAAUAGACCAACAACAAUUCUAGAAACCACUCUUCAAUACAUAAAAAUUAGCGAGAAAUGCAUAACAGCCCUACAUAACACAUUCAGUAAUCUCCACAAUUAAUUAACUCAAGCAAUACCUCUCUACUAUUUAUCUCAAAGCAAGAUAACACUUAAUUAACUCCCUUAUAAUAUCUCUUAUUUCAACACUAAUCUUAUCUAAAAAUUUCUCAAUCCUUCAUUCACAUGCAUGUCCUCUCUAUCACUAGUACCCACCCCGAAUUUCACCCUGAAACCCGAAGUAAAUCCUGCGGGGUCCACCUCCAAGGAAAAUUUACCGAAAAUUCGGCAUAAUCUACCUUGAAAAUGAACGACCCUUACUUGAAAAAUUUCAGAUAGAUACUUCUAUUAUAAAUCAUCCAUCCUCAACUCCUGGAGUCUUCCUGCUCUCCAAGUUCAUAACAUCUCUGUCAUACCUCGGUUCUUAAAUUAUUUUACGGUUAUUUACUUUUGGUAUUCCUUUGGUCUCUUACCGCUUUGAGUAACCAUUUACUAUUUAAGGAUCUUGGAGUUGACUUUUUGUAGAAAAAUUAUUUUGGGAAAACUUUCUUCAUGAAAGUCGUAGAGGACGUUAAACCGAGUUCGUGGAUAUGUGGCAUGUUUUAAUUGAAGUUUGUACGAAAAAGUUAUAAGGGUUUAAAGUCAGGGGCAGAUUAGUAAUUUUAUAGAAAACUCAAGUUCUAUAAAUAGCAAAUCAGACCACAUUUCUGGAUAAUUCCAGAAUUUGCCCAAAAAUUCUAGAAUUUGGAAGCUCUCCCUUCCAGCAGCAAUCCCUUAAAAGGAUGCGACCUAACUCGAGCUAGGUAAGGAGAAUCGAAGGUUUGAAAUUCAAAGGUUUUAAAUUUGGGAUUUUUAAUGUUUGGCUUUGAUUACCCUAGUUAGGCUAGAAAUUGGACUUCGUGAUAGUUAUGAAAGUUGUUUGGAAUGUUGAGAGGAAGAUUGUGUCAAAAUUUGGUAGCCAUUAGAGGUCGCCGGAGUUCGGCUACCGGCCGCCACCGCCGCUUAGGGGUAGUUUUUCAUGUUUUUGAGUUUGUCUUAAUGAGAGGAGUUUAAUGAAGUAAAGUUUGGAAUUUUUGGAGGAGUUUUGGUUAGGUUUGGGAUUUUUUCGAGAUUGAGAAUUUUGGCGGUUGUUACAAUAAAAAUCCGGCUGUUGGAUUUCCUUGGUAUUUAUUCUAGAAUGUUAGAAUUGAUAAAUUAAGGUUGUGGUGGAGUUUGAUGUGAAUCCGGUAAGCUUAACCCUAGUAAGACUGGUGGGUUAAGCGGAAGAGAUUUAGGGGUUUAUAUUCAAGUAUUUAUUUUCCGGAAUUGAAGUUUGGUCCUAAGCAUAUUUAUUGUGCCAGGAUAUGAAGGAAACCUGGCUUGAGUGGUGAUGCGGAUAUCGUCGGGCUUAUGCCUAAAUUUGUGAGUGGACAUUUUGGUUUUAAAUAAAUAUGCACGCAAGAUUUUAUAAUUUAUUAUUUUAUUUUCUGAGCGUAUAUUAUAAUUUCGACUUAUGAAAUGAUCUUAGAAUUUAUUUGAGUUUGAUGCAUUGACUAAGUGUUGGUCAUGAUUUAUGGAUUUGAACUCGGAUUAUUAUUUUAAUAUUUGAGUUUGGAUAUUCUUUAUAAAUUCCGGAAUUCAUUAUAAUGAUUGUUUAAAUGGUGGACUUUGAGAUUUAUAAAAGAUUUCCGAAAAUGGGAUUUUCGGUAAUUCUCUUUUUAUAACUAUCUCGUUUAUUUGUGGAUUAUCAAUCUUGGCAUUGAGAAUAUUUUAGCGAGUAUUUUCGGAGUGAGGAAUUAUUUACAAUUUAUACUUGUUAAUUAAACUCGCUUAUAUUAUGGAUUUGAGAAUAUUUUGACGUGUGAGACACGUCAUUGAGUUUAUUUUAAUUUCUUAUGAUAAUUUGCAAGGUUGGGAACCGUACCAUUCAUAUGAUCUUGGGGAAGUUUAAUAGAUUUAAGUGAUUUCGUAUGUUUUUAGUCACUAUAAUAUAGGGUCGCUUAUAUUUCAUUACUAGCUAGCUUUAUUAGCGGUCCUCACCAUAGGUGAGUAGAGCGCUUAACAUGGGACGCUAUUAUAGCCUGGGAGGCACCGAUCGGAUAUUAUUAUUUAUUGCUAGCUAGCCUUAUUCGACCCGAGCCUUUGAGGCUCCUUUUUCAUGGUGAUAACUCUUCCCCUUAUUUUAUUAUUCUCAGUUAUGUAUUUGAUUAACCAGCGGGGCUGGUUAUCUCUUCUUACAAAAUAUCUAUAUUUGAUUUACCAGCGGGGCUGGAUUGUCCAUUCUUAUUGGUAUUUUGGAUUUAAAGUUAUUUGGAUUAUCAAAAUUGCGUGCAGCUAAAAGUUUUUUUAAGUUGAAAUGUGGGAAAGUAUUUAAAUUGCGUAUUGUUAAAUUAUUUAUUAUUUUUGUCUACUCACUCUAACGUUUUUAAAUUACUUUCCCUUGGGCCCUUUGGUUUUAAAUGCCUAGUUUGCAGGCUAAGUUUAAUUAAGGUCGAGCGUACAUGGAGUCGAGGCAUAAUUAGAGGCUGAUUCCGCUUAAUCAUUAUUCAUUGUUAUUCUUUCAUUACUAGAUAUGCUCUGAUAACCAGUUAGUGAAUAAAUGAUGUCGUUGUUGUUGGUUGUGGAAUUCCAGAAGUUUAGUAUUUAGUAUUUUGGGAGAUGUGAUGAACUUAGGGAGCAGAAAGGCUCCAGGUGUUGAGGCUGGUUUGUUUGGUUAUAGAAGUGUAAGUUGGAUUUUUCAGGUAAGGGUUGUCCAUUUUUAAGGUAGAUUAUGCCGAAUUUUCGAUAAAUUUUCCUUGGAGGUGGACCCCGCAUGAUUUACCUAGGGUUUUAGGGUGAAAUUCGGGGUGGGUCCUGACAAUCUCUCAAAAUACAUCAAGCCUUAUUCAACUAAUAAUAAUCACAAAUGGUCAUCAGAGCAUCUAUAAUGAAAAAAACACAAUGAAUAAAGAAUAAGCGGAAGCAGCCUCUGACUAUGUCUCGACUCCAUGUACGCUUGACCUCAAUAAACUCAGCCUGAAACUGGGCAAUUAAAACCAAAGGGCCCAGGGGAAAGUAAUUUAAAAACGUUAGAGUAGGUGGACAAAAAUAAUUUAAAUAAUUUAAUAAAUACGUAAUUUAAAUAUUUUUUCACGUUUCAACUUUAAAAACUUAGCUGCACGCAACUUUGAACAUCCUUAAAACUUUAAAUCCAAAAUCACGUAAAAAUGGACAAACCAGCCACACUGGUUAAUCAAAUACUGAAAUCUUGUAACCAGAGACAAAUCAACCCCGCUGGUUAAUCAAUUACAUAAAUGAGAAAAAUAAAAUAAGAGGAAGAGGUAUCACCAUGUAAGAGGAGCCUCCACGGCUCGGGUCGGUGCCUCCCAGGCUAUAGUAGUGUCGCACGCUAAGUUCUCGACUAACCUAUGGUGAGGACUGCUAAUAAGGCUAGCUAACAAUAAAUAAUAACUGAUCAGUGCCUCUCAGGCUAUAGCAGCGUCCCACGCUUAGCGCUCGACUUACCUAUGGUGAGGACCGCUAAUAAGGCUAGCUAGUAAUGAAUAAGAGCGACCCUAAUAUAGUGACUAAAAUCAUACGAAAUCACUUAAAUCCAUAAACCUUUCCCCCAAGAUCAUGCGAAGGGUACAAUUCCCAACCGUACUUGAAAAUUAUCAUCAUAAAUUAAAAUAAGAUUCAAUGACAUGUCUCACAUGUCAAAAUAUUCUCAAAUCCAUAAUUAUAAGCGAGAUUUAAUUAUCAAGUAUAAAUUGUAAAUAAUUUCUCAAUCCGAAAAUACUCGUUAAAAAUAUUCUCAAUGUCAAGAUUGAUAAUCCACAAAUAAACGAGAAAGUUAUAAAUAGAGAAUUACUGAAAAUCCCAUUUUCGGUAAUCUUUAAUAAAUCUCAAAGUCAACAAUAAAGCCGAUAAUAAUUAAAUUCGGAAAUCAUAAAUGAUAUCGAAACUCAAAUACCAAAUUAAUGAUCCGAGUUCAAAUCCAUAAAUCAUGGUCAACAAUUAAUCCAAGCGUCAAACUCAAUAAUUUCCAAGAUCAUUUCAUAGGCCAAAGUAUGAAUAUAUGCUCGGAAAAUAAAAUGAUAAAUUAUAAAAUCUUGCAUGCAUAUUUAUUAAAAGCCAAAGUCUCCACUCACAGAUUUAGGCAUAAGCCUGACGAUAUCUGAAUCGCCACUCAAGCGAGGUCCCCUCGUAUCCUGGCACAAUAAAUAUGUUUAGAACCACUCUUUAAUUUAGGAAAAUAAAUGCUUUAACUUAAGCACCGAAAUCCUUCCACUUAACCCACUAAUCAAGCUAGGGUUAAGCUGAUUAGAUUUUUACCAAACUUCAUCGAUUCUAGCACUUUAGGACCAUAACCAAGAAAAUCAAAUGGUUGGAUCUAUUCUAUCAAUCGCCAAUUUCUCUAAUCUCCGAAAAAUUCCAAACCUAACCAAAACUCCUCCAAAAAUUUCAAACUUAACAUCAAUGAACUCCUCACAGCAUAACACAUUAAUUAACAUGAAAAACUACCCCCAAGUGGUGGCGGCGCCGUCUGCUCCACCGGAAGCAGCGGCUGGCCAGCCCUUACUCCGGCCACCUCCAAUGAUCACCAAAUUUUAGUACAAUCAUCCUCUCAACAUUCUAAACAACUUUCAUAACUAGCACAAAGUCCAAUUUCAAGCCUAACUAGGGUACUCGAAGCCAAACAUUAAAAAUCCUAAUUUAAAACCCUAGAAUUUCAAAUGCCCGAUUCUCCUUAUCUAGAUCAAGAUGGAUUGAAACCUUUUGAGGGUUUAUUGUAUAAGAGGAGAGCUUCCAAACGAGACAAACAACUCUGGAUAUGGUGGCCGGAAGAGGGAGUUCCGGCAACGACUCCGCCACGCACAGUCGCCUCUUCUCGCCGUGAUUUCUCCUUCACGGCGGCGUGACACGGGCUGCCACAUACCUAGACUUGUAGAGGAUGCUCCGAGCUUCAAAUCGAUACCCAGCUCGCCAGCUAACUCCGUUGGACGGCGGCGGAUGGAGGCGAUGAAGUCGCCGGCAUAGAGAGAGACGCGAGAGAGAGAAGAGAGAGAGGGAGGUAAGUUCUGAUUCUCUACCUCACCUCAAAUGGUAAGUUUCCAUUUUUAUACCUCCAACUAAAAUACUAACUUUACAUUUUACACCAUAACUUUCACAUACGAACUCCGAUUUUAACGUAUAGCAUGUCCACAGAUUCAUAUUAACGUUCUCUACAACUCCUUAAAGAAAUUUUCCUAAAAUAAUAUUCCUACAAAAAGUCAACUCUAGGGUCCUUUAACAGUAAACGGUUACUCAAAACAGUAAAAGGUCAAAGUAACACAAAAGUACAUACCCGUAAAUUAACUUAAGAACCGGGAUGUGACACAACUCGCUACUUAAAUAUAAGUCAAUAACUCAUUGAAUAAGGAAUACAACACUGCAAACACAUGUCACUUCCCAACUCAUAAUCGAACUCAAAAUCUCGCAACCACAAUAAAGCACAAAUGAAAUGUGCAAAUCACUUACCUUUCCAUUACUCGGAAAAUAACCAAGAUACCCUUUGAGGUCGGCAUACAGAGGCAUAGUCUUGAAGAUGUAGACAUUUAUGACACAAUACUGUCCAUAAAUAAGACAAUAACAACUACCUUACAUACCUAAUAAACACAUAGCAUCUGAACUCUGAAGCAUAUAAUGCUAAUGGAUCCGCUGCGGUGGGACCACCACUCUAUAGACACUAAGUAUCACCAAGUAUAUGGUAGUGAUAGGAAUCGGAAAACCUAAGCUCUGAUCCCAACUGUUAGGACCCACCCCGGGUUUCACCCUGAAAUUUGAAGUAAACCCUGCGGGGUCCACCUCAAGAGAGAUUUUACCAAAAAUUUCGGCAUAACCCCUUUGAAAAUAGACAACUCUACCUGUCAAAACCAAACAUACACUUCUAUAAUCAUACUUCAACCUUGUACUCCUGGAGCUUACAUGCUCCCCAAGUUCAUCACAUCUCCCAAAAUAUCAAUUACUAAUCUAAAAGAAUCCCACAACCAACAACAAAAACAUUCAAUACAUUACUCACUGGAUUAUCAAAGCAUAUCUAUAAUGAAAGAAAAACAAUGAAUAAAGAAUAAGCGGAAGCAGCCUCUGAUUAUGUCUCGACUCCAUGUACGCUCGACCUCAAAUAAACUUAGCCUGCAAACUGGGCAUUUGAAACCGAAGGGCACAAGGGAAAGUAAUUUAAAACGUUAGGGUGAGUGGACAAAAAUAAAUUAAACAAUUUAACAAAACAUAAUUUAAAUACUUUCCCAUGUUUAAACUUUAAAAACUUAGCUGCACGCAACUUUGAUCAUCCAUAAAACUUUAAAUCCAGAAUCACAUAGGACUAGACAAACCAGCCCCGCUGGUUAAUCAAAUACUGAAAUCUUGUACGAAGAGACAAACCAGCCCCGCUGGUUAAUCAAUUACGCAACUGAGAAAAUAAAACAAGAGGAAGAGAUAUCACCAUGUAAGAGGAGCCUCCCAGGCUCUAGUAGCGUCCCACACUAAACGCUCGACUCACCUAUGGUGAGGAUUAUUAUUAAAGGCUAGCUAGCAAUAAAUAAUAGUAUCCAAUCGGUGCCUCCCAGGCUAUAGUAGCGUCCCACGCUAAGCGCUGAACUCAACUAUGGUGAGGACUGCUAAUAAAGGCUAGCUAGUAAUGAAUAAUAACGACCCUAAUAUGGUGACUAAAAACAUACGAAAUCAUGUAAAUACAUAAAACUUCCCCAUGAUCAUGCGAAUGGUACGGUUCCCACGUACUUGAAAAUUAUCAUAAGAAAUUAAAAUAAAACUCAAUGACGUGUCUCACACGUCAAAUUAUUCUCAAAACCAUAAUAUAAGCGAGAGCUAAUUAACAAGUAAAAAUCGUAAAUAAUAUCUCAAUCCAAAAUACUCGCUAAAAUAUUCUCAAGGUCAAGAUCGAUAUUCCACAAAUAAACGCGAAAAUUAUAAAUAGCGAACUACUGAAAAUCCCAUUUUCGGAAAUCUUUUAUAAAUCUCAAAGUCCACAAAUAAAACAAUUAUAAUGAAAUCCAGAAUUUAUAAAGAAUAUCCAAACUCAAAUUCCAAAUUAAUAAUCCGAGCUCAAAUCCAUAAAUCAUGACCAACCAUUAAUCAAUCUCAAAUAAUUUCCAAGAUCAUCUUAUAAGCCGAAAUUAUAAUAUAAGCUCGGAAAAUAAAAUAAUAAAUUAUAAAAUCUUGCAUGCAUAUUUAUUUAAAACCAAAAUGUCCACUCACAAAUUUAGGCAUAAGCCCACCGUUAUCUAAAUCGCCACUCAAGCGAGGUCCCCUUGUAUAUUGGCACAUUAAAUAUGUUUAGAACCACUCUUCAAUUUAGGAAAAAAAUAAAUGUUUUAACUUAUGCACUGAAAUCCUUCCACUUAACCCACUAAUCAAGCUAGGGUUAAGCUAAUUAGAUUUUCACCAAACUUCAACUACAACCUCACUUAAUCGGUUCUAGCACUUUAGGACCAUAAUCAAGAAAAUCUAAUGGUCGGAUCUAUUCUACCAACCACCAAGUUCUCCAAUUUUUGAAAAAUCUUAAACUUAACCAAAACUCCUCCAAAAAUUUCAAAUUUAACAACAAUGAACUCCUCACAGCAUAACACAUUAAUUAACAAGAAAAACUACCCAAAAGUGGCGGCGGCCGACAGCCCGUACUCCGGCGACCUCCAAUGCUCACCAAAAUUUGACACAAUCUUCUUCUCAACACGCACAACAACUUCCUUAACUAGCACAAAGUCCAAUUCCAAUUCCAAUUCCAAUUCCAACUUCCUUCACUAGGGUAAUCGAACCAAAACAACAAAAAUCCCAAUUUAUACCCUAGAAUUUCAAAUGCCCGAUUCUCCUUACCUAGCUGAAGAUGCACUGAAACCUUUUGAGGUUUUGUUGUGUAGGAGGAGAGCUUCAAAAUGAGACUAGUAGCUCCGAUUUUGGUGGCCGGAAAAAGGAGUUCCGGCGAGAACACCUCCGCGGCACAGCCGUGACUUCACGGCGAUUGUGCUCCCUCACGGCGGUACGACUCCAUCGGCCAGCUACCCAGAUCGACGGAGGAUAAACCAAGCUUCAAAUCAGUACCCACCUUGCCGCCUAACUCGCCCGGACGAUGGCAAAUGGAGGCGGAGAAGUGGCCGGUCGGAGGAGAGGCGCGUGAGAGAGGAGAGAGAGAGAGAGAGAAAGAGAGAGAGAGAGAGAGAGAGAGAGAGAGAGAGAGAGAGUAGGNNNNNNNNNNNNNNNNNNNNGAGAGAGAGAGAGAGUGAGUAACUUUCUGUUUUUCUACCUUACCUCUUCCGGUAAGUUUCCCUUUUUAUACCCCCAACUGAAAAUAGUAACUUUACAUUUUACACCAUAACUUUUACAUACGAACUCCGAUUUUAACGUAUAGCAUGUCCAUGGAUUCGUAUUAACGUCCUCUACGACUUCCUUAAAGAAAUUUUGCCAAAAUAAUUUUCCUACAAAAAGUCAACUCUAGGGUCUUUGAAUAGAAAACAGUUACUCAAAAUGACAAAAAAUCAAAGUAACACAAAAGUAAAUACCCGCAAAUUAACUUAAAAACCGGGAUGUGACAGAUAUUCCUCAACUACUUCUCCAAAUUGUUCCAACUACUCUUUAUUAGGAUGAUUCCAAGGACAAGGACAGGAACAAGAACAAGAACAUAUCCUUAAUUAGAGCUGUAAGGGACAAAUCAAAUGCUGCCAUAACAAACAUUAACCAAAACGAUCCCAACUGACUCCCGCAAUGGAUUAAGUAGUUGGUAAAUUGACAGCCAAUCAAGACUUCUCUAAAUUGAUAGCUUUUUAUGCAACCAAACGUCCCACACUCAAGUACUAGCCACAAAUGACAGGAUCCACCCCGAAUUUCACCCUGAAACCCGAAGUAAAUCCUGCGGGGACCACCUCCAAGGAAAGUUUACCGAAAAAUUCGACAUAACCUCCCUUGAAAAUGGACAACCCUUCCUAAUAAAACCUGCAAACACUUCUGAAAAUUUAAAUCCAACCAUAAACUCUUGGAGCCUUCGUGCUCCCCCAAAUCACAACACCACCCAAAAUAAAUACUAACUUUAAACAAAUCUCAUAACCAACCAUUUAUAGGUUCAAAGCAACUCUAAUAGAAAGAAAAGAAACAUAAUAAAUUAACAAGCGAAAGCUAUAUGAUGACUAUGCCUCAUCUCCAUGUACGCCCGACCUCAACUAUGCAAUCCUGUAAACUGGGCAUUUUAAAACGAAGAGCCCAGGGGAAAACAUUUAAUAACGUUAGAGUGAGUGGACAAAAAUAAUUUAAUAAAAUAAAAUAUUUAUGUUUCCCCAAAUCAAUUUCCAAGGAAAAAUCGAAUGCAUGCCGCAAGCGAUAAAAACUUUUAUCUCAUAAAAUAUCGAGCCUCUCAGGCUCUAACAUAUAUGUAUGUAUUUACACACGUCCAUACUCCCUAUAUAAAUUCAUGGGUCUAUAUAGGGCUACUACGCUCGCGUCCAACGCUCACGUCACGCCUUAAUGCGGUGCUACACUACGCCAUUAAGGUGGACAGACGGGUGUAUAAAUAUGUGUCCAUACCCCCUAUAUGAAUUAGACACUCAUAUAGGGUUACUACGCUCGCGUCCAACGCUCACGUCACACCAUAAUGCGGCUAUAUGCUACGUCAUUAAGGUGGACAGACACAUAGGGCUAGCUAGCAUUUAUAUACAUACUCUCUCAUAAAUACAUAUUUAUAUCCAUCGAAAAUCCCAUUUUCGGUAACUCUCCAAGAGAAAUAAAAUCGUCAAAAUAAAAUGACGUCAAAAUGCUCCACAACAUUAAUUGUUCAUCUAUGAACUAUAGCAUGCAUUUUAUUUAAAACAAAAGUCCACUCACAGUAUGAGGCCUAAGCCUUCCAAUGCUCGGAAUACUCCUCGAGCGCUGCCUCCAACUAAUCACACUCUCUAGCCAAUCCCACGUCUGACGAUAAACAGAAGAAUAAAUUGGUCAGACCGGACUCCAAUAAUCAUUAACGAUUCGACUUCUUCCUAGUUUGACUAGGUUUACUGAGUUGACCAGGAUUGACCAAGUUUGACCAAUUGAUUUAUGAUUAGCCAACUAACGAAGCCUCGACAAUUUCCACUUUAACCUUCGACUUAACAAAUCGAGUUACCUUGAUUACUCUACCAUCCAAUUUAAUUCCAACAACCAUCUUAAUAAUUCAAUUACAAUUGAUUCUUCAUCCAAACAAUCCUCAAUCACUCUCUCUCUAUACAACUUCACACCAUAAAUCACUAAGGGCACCCAAAAUGGGUUUCCAUAAAUAGAAAGUUUUCAAAAAGGGAAAGUUUCCCCAAAAUAGGAACUUUCCUCACUUAGAAAGAUUUCCGAUUAUAAACUGACAAACUUUCCUAUUUAUGAAACAACGCAAAAUAAAAAGGAAAACUUCGAUAACUACCUCAACUGCUCUUGUAGGACUAACUGCCUUCGCCGGAUUCCGACGACUUGUAGGAAUAUUCUGCCGGAUUCCGGCCACUUGCCGGAAUUUCGCCAUGACCUCCCUAUAUCCUUCAAUAUACCGAGUUCUCGACAUACAAACACAAAAUAACCAAAAGCAGUCAUUAACCAUCUCCAAACCACAAAGGAACAACAUAGCAGCACCCAAAAAUCGAUACUUACCUCCACUAUGCCCAAAUGAAAAUCCAGUGGCUCCUCCCUGCUAAAACUCAUCAUACAGGUCCUCCAGCUACUUCCAAAUCAAGAACUAGUAUCCCAGAAGCCAUGACAUGGAGCUCACUGGCCUAGGAACCACUGCCUCAAUCGCCACCUCCACCAAAGCAUUUCCACACAGCUUCAGGUCCCCCUCCAGCCUUUGCUCCGCCUCUCUUCGGGUUAGGGUAACAUUAGGAGAGGGAAGGAGACCGCUGAGCCUCUCGGGAACGUAGUCGUCAGAGCUCGAGCUCGAACACAGAAAAGAGAAGAAAAAGGAUUUUCAAAUUAGGGUUCGAUUCGAAUAUCCCAGAACAUAGAAAGGAUAAGGGAAGAGAGGAGAACAAGAUUAUACCCUUCAUAGCGGUUGUCCCUGCCGGAGCUCACCGAAAAUUGUAGAACACAGUCGAGCUUUCCUUCAGUCGAUCACCACCGAAUCGAGAUGAAAGUGUGAUCCAUGGACCGGGUUUUGAAGAGGAGAAGGAGAGGAAAAGAUCGGUGGUAAUUUCUUGAUCAGAGGUGGCCGGAAUUGGCGACGCCGUGCCGGAGAGAAUGGAGGCAGGCGGAGAAGAAAAUAGAGAGAGCUAGCUCGGGUCAACGCCCGAGUGUGGGUUUGACAAGGUCAACCCAUCUGUUUUCCCUUUAUACCCGAACCAACGGUCCAGAUCGAAACCCUAACUGAUCAGAUGGCUAAGAUUAAAAGUUAUAAUCUGAUUUCAGAAAAAAUUAACUAUAACACCAAGCCUUCGAUAAAUCGUAGAAAAUAACUCGAAACUCCAAAAAUAAUUGGAGGACACCGAUGAACUCGUAUCGACGCGCACUAAGACCUCGGGUCCAUAAAAGAAGAACUUGACAUUUUGAGAAAAACUCGACAAUAAAGUCGAGUGUUAAAUUACCAAAUUACCGAGCACGGUUAAAUUCUUCAGUAACUCGUGCAAUACCUAGUAAAUAGGUAAAAUUGGGUCCCGGAUAUUACAACAAAUCACCUGUGACCAAUUAGCUCAAGAUUAGGGUCCUCAACACCUCGUAAAAGUACCUCUUUGAAUUACUAUAGGUACCUCACCACAUCACUUCAACCAACCUUUACAUCAAUAGAAUACACCACUACUUCGAACUUUCUUUCCAACUCUUCUCUCCCAGAAGUCACAUAACUCGAUACCAAGAUUUUCCAUCGGACUACUACAACCUCAUACUUGCCUACCAUAAAUAGGAAACUCCAAGACAUGAAUCGAAUAAAACGUUUCACCUACUACAGAUUUGUACAAGAUGCUCACCCUAGCAUCUUAAUCAUAGCCCAAUUAAGACAAAUGAAAGGGAUGCUGUCAAGCUUAUGAGUUCCCAACUUGAGUUCCCAACUCGCAACUUAACUCUAACAAUUUAUGAUAUCAAAACGAUAACCCUUGAAAAAGAUGUAAUCUAUACACCUUUUCAUUACUCAAAACAGAAUAAUUAUUUAAGAGGUCGGCGUACGGAGGCAUAGUCUUAAAGAUAUAGACAUUUAUGGCACAAUACUGUCCAUAAAUAAGACAAGAACAACUACCUCACAUACCAAAUAAACACAUAGCAUCUGAUGCAUAUAAUGCUAAUGGAUCCGCCGCGGUCGGACCAUCACUCUAUAGACACUAUGUCUCACCAAAUAUAUGAGGUAGUGGUAAGAAUCGGAAAACCUAAGCUAUGAUACCAACUGUCAAGACUCACCCCGAAUUUCACCUUGAAACCUGAAGUAAAUCCUGCGGGGACCACCUGUAAGGAAAAUUUAUCGAAAAUUCGGUAUAACCUCUCUUAAAAAAUGGACAACCCUUCCUUAAAACACUUGCAAACAGUACUAAAAUUCCAAAUCCAACCUUAAACACCUGGAGCCUUCGUGCUCCCCAAAUUCACAACACCACCCAAUUUAUUUAUCAAUCCAAACUAAAUCUCAUGACCAAAAAUUCGUAGGUUCAGAGCAACUGUAAUAGGGAAGAAAGAAAACAAAAUAUACAAAUAAGCAGAAGCAUAUUAUGGACUAUACCUCAACUCCAUGUACGCCCGACCUCAACUACGCAAUCUUGCAAACUGGGCAUUUAAAAUCGAAGGGCCCAGGGGAAAACAUUUGAAAACGUUAGAGUGAGUGGACAAAAAUAAAGUUUAAAAGAAACAAGUCUUUAUGCUUUCCCAUUUCACCAAUAAUACUUCAAAAGAGUAAAAAUGACGAACCAAUCCCAUUGGUUCGAAUAGAACUUCAAAAGAGUAAAAGGGGGUUUCACCAUAAAUAUGAGCCUCCCAGGCUAGGGUCGGAGCCACACAAGCUCUAUUAAUAGCGUCCCACGCUAAAGGCUAUAGCAAUAAUAAUAUACAACAACCCUUAUAUGAUGAAAUAAGAAGAACAUAUAGAGCUCACGAGAUAAAUAUCCCGGCCCACUAGAUAGAGCUCACGAGAAAGGUAUCCCGACCCACUAUAUAGAGCUCACGAGAUAAGUAUCCCGGCCCAUUCAACCAAGUAAUGUAACAAUACUCAUUGACGUGUCUCACAGGUCAAAUAUACUCGGAUUUAUGAUUGAGAAGUACCGAAAAUCCCAUUUUCGAUGAUCUUUUCCAAAUCUCAAUGUUGACAAAUAAAAACGAUAAUUAUAGAGGAGAUAUUUAUAAUUUAAUUAUCGCAUGCAAUUUAUUCAAAAUGAAAGUCCACUCAGAGAUUUAGGCCUAAGCCUGACGUCGAUCCGAGGUCGCUUCAGCUCGAACCUCCUCACCUCUUGAUCAAAGGAUACUAUUAAAUUCUAAUCCCAAUUUAAAUCAUAAAAUUAACAAGUAUGAAUGUGAGCCUAAAUCGCUCUCCUUAGCCCAAUUCCUCGAACUCCAAAAACAGUUCAAGCUGGACCCGUACAAAAUCCUUGACAUAAUAAUUUGAUGGAUUUAAGCUAAUUCCAAAGCUACCCUAAACACCAGUUUCUCAUCUAACAACUAACAAAUUAACCAAUCCCCGAUUAAUUCCAAACCUUAUCAAAUACUCCUCCAAUACUCACAAACUUAACAUUGUUAAACUCCUCCUUUCAAAUACAACCUAUAAACCCAGAAAAACCCUUCAACCUGGCGGCUCUGUCGACAGCGGUGGCGGGCGGCCCUACUCCGACCACCUCCAAUGCUCACCAAAAUUUGACACAACAUUCCUCUCAACACGCACAACAACUUCCCUAACUAGCACAAACACUAAUUCCAAGCCUAGAUAGGGUAAUCGAACCAAAACAUAAAUUUGAGCCCAAGAACUUCAAUUAAUCAUUUCUCCUUACCAAGCACGAAUCGAGCCAAUUCCUUUUGAGGGAUUACUACCCUAGAUGAUAGCUACAAAAUGAGCCAAGAAUCGCUGGCUAUGGCGGCCGGAGGAGGAAGCUCCGACGAGAGGACAGUCGGCUUCUCAGAGGAGAUUUCACCCGAUCGGCGGUGCUAGGAAGGCUUCCACCGGUCCAGGAAGGAAGAUGAGGCGGCGGCGGUUCGAACGGGACCGGUGCGGCAGCCUAGCUUGGCCGGACGGUGUCAGACGGAGGCGGAAAACUUCUAGCAAGGAGAGAGAGAGACUCGAGGAAGGAAGAAGAAGAAGAAGAGAGAGAGAAAAAGAGAGUUUGGGCCUUCUCUCUCAAUUUUCCCAACCCAACUCCAAAAAUACCCAACACCAACAACAAAUCACCUUUUACCUUUUUACUCUCUAAAAUUUACCUUUUACCGUCUUCAACAAUUUCUCCAACGUAAAAAUUUUCCUGAUUUAAUCAACUUACAACAAUAUCUCUAGGGACCUUUGAAACUAUAAAAUCCAUUAACGAAGACGGUAAAACUCUUAUUAACACCAUGCAAGUGAUUAGGGUAAAAAUUAAGAGUCAGGAUGUGACAUCGAAUCUAGAAAACAAAGACACAGAAAAGAAGAGGGAAGAGAGGCGAACAAGAGAAUACUUGACACGAUCAGAGGCGACGCCGAAGUUCAUCGGAAUUCAGCAAAACAGACGUAUCCUUGACUUCGAUCUCCAUGAAUUCGGGGUUGUUUGUGGAAAAUGAUUACUGGGUUUUGAAGAGAAGAGGAAGAGGAACAAAACCCUACCUGUCAGCCGCCUUGUCGCCUGAGCUUGCUGAAAUCCGACGAACACAGCCGAGCUUCCCUUCGAUCGAUCACCACUGAAUCGAGUUGCAAGUGAUGAUCUAUGAACUGGGUUUUGUAGAGAAGAAGUGCCACAUCCUGACCCUUAAUUUUUACCCUAAUUAUUUACGUUGUAUUACCCUGAGUUUUAAUCGCUUUUGUUAGGUGUCCCAUAGUUCAAAGAACCAAAGACAACUUUUAUAUGAUGACUAUUACUGGGUUUGUUCCUUAAAAGAAAGUCAUAAGGACGAUAAAAAUGAAGUAGCUGACAUGAGUUACUUGUGUUUGGAAAGUAGGUAAAAAGAUGGAAAUUAAAAGGGGGUAAUUUUAUUUUGUGGUUAGGUUUACAAUGAGAAACUUCCAUUUUAAGAAGUUUCUGGAUCGGGAAACAAGUUCAAAAGCCCAAAAUUCUCUCUUUUCUCUCCUCUUCCCUUCGAUUUUCUGUCUCUCUCUUUACCAACAAGUCUGCAACCAUCGACCGCCGCCGUCUGGCCAGCUCAGGCCGCCGCCCUAGUCCCGUUCGACUGGCCAUCACCUCUGCUAUCUUUCUGGGUUGGAGAUCGAGUCCAUAGCGCUAUUACUGGGAAGGAAUUCCUCUCGGAAGCUCGCCUGCAACGUGUGGGUUCGGUUGCCGGAACUCGCUCCUCCGGCCAUCAUAGCUGAAGAUCUUUGGCUCAUCUUGAAGGCCUUUCUUGGUGUAACAAUACUCUAGAAGGAAUCAAUCCAAUUCAAUCUAGGUAAGGAGAUUCGAAGGUUUAAAGUUCUAGGGUCCAAUUUGGGAUUUUUACUGUUUUGGUUCGAUUACCCUAUCUAGGCUUGAAAUUGGUGUUUGUGGUAGUUAUAAAAGUUGUUUAGAUUGUUGAGUGGAAGAUUGUGUCAAAUUUUGGUGAGUAUUGGAGGUGGUCGGAGUUAGACUGCCGCCGCCGCUGCCCGCGGAGCAGACGGCUGCGCCGCCAUGUUGAAGGGUUUUUCUGAGUUUUAAAGUUGGUUUUGAAGGGAGAAGUUUAUUAAUGUUAAGGUUGUGAGUUUGGAGGAGUUUUUGAUUAAGUUUGGAAUUAAUCAAAGAUAGGUUAACUUGUUGGUUGUAGGUGAGUAUCCGGUUGUUGGAGGAGCUUUGGAAUUAGCUUAAAUCCAUCAAAAUAUAUUGUCAAGGAUUAAGUACGGGUUCGGCCCAAACCGUUUAAGAAUUUAAGGAAGUGGGCUAGGGAGAGCGAUUUAGGCUCACAUUCAUAUUUGUUAAUUUUAUGAUUUUAAAUUGGGAUUCGAACUUAUUAGUAUCCUUUGAACAAGACGUGAGGAGGCUUGAGUUGAUGAGACCUCGGAAUGACGUCAAGCUUGGGCCUAAAUCAGUGAGUAGACGUUUGUUUUAAAUUAAAUGCAUGCAAUGGUUUUAUAUUUAGUGAUUGAUUUUAUUUUACUAUCUCUUAAUUUGUGGAAUUGAGAUCUUUUCGUGUUUAUUUUAGCGAAGUUAUUUUGGAAGUAAAUAAUCUUAUUUUAUUUGUUAACUCCGCUAUUUGGAAAAUUACCGAAAAUUGGAUUUUCGGUGGAGUCGUAUGCAUAUUGCUUUCUUUUAUAUUUGGCAAUUUUCUUUAAUUUGGAGAGUUAGAUAUAUAUAUAUAUAUAUAUAUGGAUAUUUAUGAGGAUAGCAUGUAUAUAAAUGCUAACUAGCCAUACGUGCUUUUCCGUCAUAAUGGUGUAGCGAUUAGCCACCAUUAUGGUGUGACGUGAGCGAGGGACGCAAGCGUCAUAGCCCUAUAUGAAAAUAAGAAUUCAUAUAGGGGAUAUGCACGUAUAUACACCCGUCUUUUCCACCAUAAUGAUGUAGCGUUUGAAAUUCUAUUAUGGUGUGACGUGAGCGUGGGACGCAAGUGUUGUAGCCUUGUACGAAUUUCUUAUUUUUUUUUUUUAUUUUCAUAAGAAUUCAUACAACGAGUAUGACGUGUAUAAAUACAUACUUAUAUACUAGAGCCUGGGAGGCUCAAUAUCAUAAAGUAUUGGAGACUAGCGGGGCUAGUCAUGUAUUGCAGUAUUUGCCAAUUUCUGAGUUAAGAGAUUAAUUUGGGAAAGCAUAUAAAAACUUUUAUAAAUAUUUGUUUCUUUGAAACUUUAUUUUUGUCCACUCACUCUAACGUUUUUAAAUGCUUCUCCCUUGGGCCCUUCGGUUUUAAUUGCCCAGUUUGCAAGUUAGCUUAGUUGAGGUCGGGCGUACAUGGAGUCGAGGUAUAGUCCAUCAUAGAGCUUCCGCUUAUAUAUAUAUAUAUAUAUUUAUUUUCCCUUCACUGUUAUAAUUGCUCUGAACCUAUGAAUUGUUGGUUAUAAGAUUUUUAUUAGAUCAGUAAUUAUAAAUUAGGAGGUGUUGCGAAUUGUGGGGAGCACGAAGGCUCCAGGAGUAUAAGGUUGGAUUUGGAUUUUUAGAAGUUUUUGCAGGCGUUUUAUAAAGAAGGGUUGUCUAUUUUCAAAGGAGGUUAUGCCGAAUUUUCAGUAAAUUUUCCUUGGAGGUGGUCCUCACAGGAUUUACUUUGGGUUUCAAGGUGAAAUUCAGUAUGGGUCCUGAUUCCUUAUAAAACGCCUACAAACACUUCUAAAAAUCCAAAUCCAAAUCCAACCUUAUUAUUUAAGAGUCGGGAUGUGACACCUGACAAGAAGGAGAGGAAGAUAUUGGUGGUGGUCUCGUCGCCAGGGGUGGCCGGACGGCGCCGCUACGGCGCGAAGACGAAGAAGAAAAAGAGAGUGAGAGGAGAGAAAAAUUAGAGAGAAGUUUUAGGGUUUUGGAUUUAAAAACUAAUCCUUAAGAAAAGUCCAAAACGCCCUUUAGAUAUCGAUACAACAAUAAACUUCUGUAGAUCACAGUUUACUCGUACGAAUUCUGAUUUAAGCUUACCACGUGUCCACGAGUUCAGUAUAACAAGCUAUACAACGUUCCUGAGAGCAAAUUUCUCAAAAAGUAUACGGGUAAAAAGUCAAUCUUUUGGUCUCCUAAAAAGUCUACACGAAGAGAAAAGGUGAAUUAGGCCAUCAAUUACCGUACUAGUGACCAGUAAAUUAGUAAAGUGGGGUACAAGUGUUACAUUUCGUCAUUUUUUUGCUUUUAAUUUAGCCAUGUUUGCCAAACAAGGUUGGCGGUUGCUGUAGUACCCCUCCUCGUUGCCCAGUCAGUUGAUGAAAGCUAUAUAUUGCCCACAUUGCAAUUUUUGGGAGGCUGAGCUGGGAAAGGCCCCCUCGUAUGCAUGGAGGAGUAUUUUGGAGGGGAGGGAUAUAUUGCGGAAUGGAAUUCAAAGGUUGAUCGGUGAUGGAAUGUCAACGGAUGAGUGGGCUGAUCCGUGGUUGAUGGGUGAGAACUUGUCGCCCAUUUUUUUAUGAUACUGUUAGUCGUGUUUUUGAUCUCUUUGUGAGCCCAGGAGUGUGGGAUGUGGCUUUGCUAUUUAAUUUAUUUUCAGCUCAUAUUGUUCACAAGAUUCAAGCAUUACCGGUCAGUAACAGAAGUCAUUUUGAUAAAUGGAUUUGGGCUCCGGAUCGAAAAGGUAUGUUUACAAUAAAGUCAGCUUACCAUAUUGGAAGGCAAGGGUUGUGGAAGAUCAUGUCAUGGCUCCUAAUCCAUCUGCGCAAUUAUGGAAUAAGAUUUGGGACGCUCCAGUUCUGGGUAAGGUAAAGAUAUGUGUGUGGAAAGUAGCUUCUAAUAUUCUCCCAUCAUGAAGUCGACUUAGUCAAAGAGAUAUUGACACCCAAUGCCCAUUUUGUGAGGAAGAGGUAGAAUCUCCCAUCCAUGCACUGAGAGACUGUCUUCAUGCCGAAGCUUUUCUUCAGCUGGCUAAUGUCCCCAUACAGCUAGCUGGCAUAAAUGCCUUUGACUAGUUAGUAUCCUCACCGAAAAACUCUCCUACUACUUUUGCUACUCUCAUGAUGAUUAUUUGGUCGGUUUGGAGGAAUCGAAAUGAUCAAGUUUGGAAUAAUAAUGCAAAGCAGGCUACUGAGGUGGUACCUAUAACUUUGGGUUGGUAGGCAGAGUUUAAAUCUACAAAUGUGAGUAGCAGAAACUGUCACAUCCCGACCCUUAAAUUUUUACCUUAUUUACUAGCUCGGUUAUAAUAAGAAUUUUACCGUCUCCGUCAUUGAGGUUAUGGUUUAAUUGGUCCCUAGAGGGGUUUUGAGGGACGAUUAUUUCGGAGAGUUAUUCGUAGGAGAAAUUUAUGACAACGGUAAAAAUGGUAAAUUUUAGCUAGUAAAAGGUAAUUUUAUUAGGGUAUUUUGUUUUGGGGUGUUAAAUUGGUGGAGUUGGGCAAUAAUUAUGGUGUUGGACUGGGUGUGAAGGCCCAAAUCUUUUCUCUCCUUCUCUCUCUUUUCUUCUCCUGUUCCUCUCGAGCCCUCUCCCGAGUUCUCUCUCCCCGGCGAACUUCCGGGCGUCCGCCUGCCGCCGUCCGGCCAACGUUCGCCGCCGCUCCGGUCCCAAACGGUUGGCCUCCGACCCAGCUACCUCCCUGGACCGGUGACAGCCUCCCUAGCGCCGCCGUGAGAGAGAAACGACACCUUGAACCUCCGGCUGUCCAAAGCUCUCCUUCGCCGGAACUUCCUCCUCCGGCCACCAAUCCGGGCAAGCCUUAUAUGGUUUUGAAAGUCUCCAACCCAGUUGCCUGGCCCUAGAAGGACUCGGUCCAGUUUGCUCCAGGUAAGGAGAACCGGUGAGUGGAAGCUCUAGGGCUUUUUGUGUUGUUUUGCUCGAUUGCCCUAGUUAGGCUUGGAAUUGAUGUUUGUGCUAGUUAGGAAAGUUGUAGAGGGGGUUGAGAGAAAGAUGCUGUUAAAUUUUGGUGAGCAUUGGAGGUCGCCGGAAUCGGCCUCCGGCCGCUGCCGCUGUUUGGGAGUUUUGUAUAGUUUUAAGUGUGGAAUAUUAAGGGGAGUUUAUUGAUGUGAAUUAUGGAAUUUUCAGAUGAGUUUUGGAUAGGUUUGUGAAUUUCCGAAGUGUGGUAUUUUUGGCGGUUGAAUAAUGUAGAAUCCGACCGUAGGAUUUAAGUCAUUUUCUGGGGGAAGUUGUAAUUAGGGCUGCCGGUAUGUUUGGUGAAGUUUGAGCCAUUUUGAGUUAAGAAAAUGGCGAAGUUGGGCAAUGAUGAGUGUGUGGGAGGCUCACGUUUAAUUUUGCCCAUUUUGUUUAAAUAUUGGAUUUUUAGUUGGGAAAUUAAUUGUAUAUUUGGUUCAGGACGAGAGGAGGCCCGAGCAGAAGAAGCCUCGGAGCGUCAUCAGCCUUAGGCCUAAUUUGUGAGUGGACCUUUGUUUUAAUUGAAAAGCAUGUGAUGAAUUAUUUUGUUGAUCAUUUAUUUCUUCUGAUGAGACUUAUUGAUUUCUCGGCUAUUUGACAAUUUUUCCUCCUUUGGAGAGAUCCCGAAAAUGAGAUUUUCGGUGGAUAUGUUUAUUGGAUGUUAUGAGUAUAGUAUGGGUUUAAAAUGCCCAGUCUGCAGAGUACGGGUUGGAUCUAGUAGGAGGCGAGGCAUAGUCACUCGCAUUUCCACCACUUUUCAUCCAUAGGUUACCUGUUUAACCUACCUGUGUUUUCUCACUUCUGCUAGUGUCUAGUAGCUCUAAAUACUUGGGUUUAAUGUUUAUUAUUUCGGUUGUGGGCGAAGGUUUGUUGACAUUUUUAGAAUAUUAUUUUCAGAGGUUGUAUGUUAUUUUAUUUGGAUAAUAUUGUGAUGAGCUGGAAGUUGAUUUUAUUUUUAUUCUUAGUGGUGGUUGUAUUUGGGGAGCACGUAGGCUCUAGGAGUUAAGGUUGGAUUGAAAAUGUUAGGAGUGUUUGCAAGUUUUCUUUAGGAAGGGUUGUCCAUUUCGGUAAUAUCUUCCUUAGAGGUGGUCCCCGCAGGAUUUACUCUGGGUUUUAGGGUAAAAUUCGGGGUGGGUCUUGUCAGAAACAGUAAUGUAUCACCCCGGGACAAAUGGAUCACCCCUUCUCCGGGGUACAUCAAAUUGAAUGUGGAUGCAGCCUAUAAUAAUGCAUCUGGUAUGGCUGGUUUGGGAGGGGUUUUUCGAGAUCAUACUGGUAGUUGUUUGGGAGUCAUUAUGCAAGGGGCAAUAUCAGCACACUCUGCACGUCAUGGUGAAAUAAUGGCAUUGUUAGCAGGAGUGUAGGUAGCUAUCCAGCAUAAUCUCCAUCCUCUUACCAUUGAGUUAGAUAGCCUGGUUUUGGUUUCGGCCCUUACCAAUGGUUCCCUAAAUGACUCUGAACUUGGUUUUCUGAUUGAAGGCUUGCGGGAAAGCCUGUCUUCUAUUACAGCUUGUGAGAAGAUCAGCAAAUAGAGUUGCUCAUGUUCUAGCUAAGGAAGCUAUUAGUGGUCCUAUUAAUUUAGUUUUACUACUGAUCCUUCUUAUGCUGUGAGAAGGGUGCUUUCUUCUGAUUGUAAUGAUCUUUGAUCAAUGAAUUCGCUUAAUUCUCUCAAAAAAUAAAAAUAAAUAAAUAACAAUUCAUAACGCAAUGAAAUAUACAUAUAUAUAAUAUUAUAUAUAUGUAUAUGUAGAAAGUGAUUUUCCUUAAUCAACAAUGUUACAAUCUGUACAUACAUAUAUAGGAGCUAUCCUUGUCUCUCUAGGUUAUGGAAUACAGUAAAUACAAUUGAUUAUAAAUAUCAAUAGCAAUGAACACAGAUGAUUCUAUUAAGGGAUUAGGAUGGAGAGAGUUUAGGAGAAUCAUGUCGGAGAAGAUGAGUGUUAGGCUUGAUUGUAGGGAACAGAGCCCCCCCCCCCCACCCCCCAAACUUGGGGGCCCUUGACAAACAAGUUUGCUUGAUAGAUGUAGAUGGCGAUUCUUAUGUAGUGGCUUGGUGAGAAGAUCAACGGGUUGAUCAACAGAACGAAAGCAUACCCGAUGACUUCCAAGAGCUACCUUCUCCCUUACAAAAUGAUAAUCAAGUUCAAUGUGCUUCAUGUGUGCAUGAAACACAGGGUUAGAGGCCAUGUAGGUGGUGCUUAGAUUGUCACAGUACGGAAGGACUAGAAACUGAAUUUUAGCUCCAAAUUCAUAUAAAAGAUAGCCUAACCAUUUGGUUUCUGCACUGGCAUGUGCAAGAGAGCGGAUUUUGAAUCCUACAAAGGACCUCCUUAAACUCUUAAAGUAAGGAUGUUUUUAGUUCUAGCAUGUAUUUUGACAAUCAAAGCCACCCAUUCCCUAGUUACUUACCCACAUAUGAAUCAUACAAAAAAUUAGCCAAAAUGAAAAACGUUUCACCAUUUGAUUAACACAAUGUUUGUUUUAAUUUUAUCUAACGACCUACAAUUGUUUACAUCAAUUUGAAUGACCAAAUGAUUAUGGAAUUAGUUGAAAUUUUGUAGACAUGUUUCUUGCAUAUGAAUAUAGAGGAUCAACGGUUAAGAUCGUUAAAUGAAGUCAUCUACUAAUGUAAAAUAGUAGGAAUCCUCAAAUUCUUAAAAUAAGGAGGUCCUCUUUAGAUCCUCCAUGUAUAUACAGUCUUUCUCAGGUAAGGAUGUUAUUUAUUUUUACAGUGCAGAUUUCCACUUUAGACUCACUUUUCGAUCGAAUUUUCACAUCUUCACCGCUAGUUUUUAGAUACUAAUGUAUAGAUCAUCUCUACAAAAUUUCAGCCAAUUUGGUUAUCAUCAAGGCACUCAAANNNNNNNNNNNNNNNNNNNNAUUUUGUAGAGAUGAUCUAUACAUUAGUAUAUAAAGACUAAACGGUGAAGAUGUGAAAACUCGAUUGAAAAGUGAGUCUAAAGUGGAAAUCCGUACCGUAAGAAUAAAUAAGGACCUCCUUAGCCAAGAAAGCCUGAUAUAUAUAUAUAGUUCCCUUCCAGAAUGAGAUACCGCUUUCAAAUUAAAGUGUGUUGCUCCUCAUUUCGCUCAAUUUUAGAUCACAUUUUCACAUCUCCACUCUUCAGUGUGUAGAACAUAGUGUGUAGGUCAUUCCUACAAAGUUUCGUCUAAUUUGGAGAUUAUUUGGGUACCGAAUUAGAUUAAAUAAAUCACUUGAACUAAAUUUGUCCAAACGGAACCGUUUGUAUAAAUCACAAAUGCAGAAGCUCAAACAAUGAAACUUUACAAGAAUGAUCUACACACUAUGUUCUACACACUGAACGGUGGAGAUGUGAAAAUGUGACCUAAAAAUGAGAGAAUUGAGUAGCACCACACUUUAAUUUCAAAGCGGUGUCCCGCUUUGGAUGGGAACUGUAUAUAUAUAUAUAUAGGCCCAAUCGUCCACACAACCCUUAAAGUACGGACGUCCCUCUGUUCUCCAUCGUCCGGCACCGACAACGCCUUUUCUUCUUGCCAGAGGACAGCAGAGACAUCUGGGACAGCAUAACCAUGAAGAAGAAGGUCAGAGAGAUCGGGAUCGGAGCUCUGGGCAGCAACCUCAAUGAAAACUUCAAGACCGAUCAAGCUCGGCUAGAAACUUACAGCCGGUGAGUCCACUAGUAAAAGGAAACUCAGUAUCAAGGUCUGUUGUCCUCCAGCAAGAAGAAAAGGCGUCAUCGGCCCCGGAUAGUGGAGAACAGAGAGACGUCUGCACUUUAAGGACUGUGCGGACGUCCUCUUCUAAACGGCUCCGUAUACACACACACACACACACACACACAUAUAUAUAAGGUCCUUCCAUUAAGGGAUCCCUUAUUGUGACUUAUACGAGGGAUUGGGCAUUUGACAAACUUUUCGACCACAUUUUUCAAUUUUAAGCGUUCUAUUUUUAGGUCCUAAUAUGUAGAUUAAUUUUGUAAAAUUUCAUCCCAAUGGUGAUCCUUAAGGUGCUCAAAACUACGAUUUGCAUGAACAGUUCAGGUUUGACAGAUUUGAUCGGUCCAAUGAUUUUAAGCUAGUUCGAGACCUUAACGACCACCAAUAAGGCUGAAAAUUUCCAUAAAUGAUCUACUCAUAUAUACCUGUAAUAUGAAAGGUGGAGAUGAAAAAAUGUGAUCGAAAAAUUGGUGUAAAUUCCCGUCCCCUUAUAUAAGUGUAUAAUAAGGGAUCCCUUAAUGGAAGGGCUCUGUGUGUGUGUGUGUAUAUAUAUAUAUAUAUAUCAUUUCAUUCUCAAUUCAUUGCUUAGAACGGUUAACAUACGAAUCUUUUGAAAUGAAUCGGUAAAGACAAAAACAGAAACUAAUGUAGAAAUAAAAUUAGAAAUAAAUCAGGUUAUGAUUUUUUAGGAAACAUUAUUAUUGAAUUUUAUUGCUAUACAAAAUUUCUCUAUUAGAGAGAUAUUCAUAAAGAAAAAUUGACUUUCUAAUUGAUCACUAUGCCAAUAACAUCAUCAGAUGACACAAGAGGCACAACAUAUAAAACAGUAUUUAAAACAAGUGUCGUUUGAUGGUUUUUGUGGUUUUUUAGAUGACAUAUAAAAUGUAAAAGUCGUCUCAAUAACAUCUUAUUUCAAUACUUUUAAAGGCUAGUUCAUUUUUUCUAGGUUUGUAAAAAUCAUACGAUAUAUAGGUGUGGUGUCAACAAAUCCAGAAAUUCUCACUUUUAGCUGAAAAUUGAGACCACAUAUAUAUGUUGUGUGAGGAAGGCUGUCCAGAUCUAGUUUUCAGCUCUUUUAAUGUACUUUUGGAGACGACAAAUAUAUGUCGUCUGAAAAUUGAGCUAAAAAUUGAGCUGAAAUGAGGUUUUUAGCUGAAAAUUGAGACCUCAUAUAUAUGUUUUGUAAGGAAGGCUGUCCAAAUCUGGUUUUUAGCUCUUUUAAUGUACUUAUGGAGACGACAAAUAUAUGUCGUUUGAAAAAAAUUGAAAUUUUCAAUUCGAACUUCCCUGUGCGAGUUUUAAUGUGCUCAACUUUGAGACGACAUAUUUAUGUCGUCUAAAAAGAACCUUAAGUUUUCAAUUGCUUGCGAAUAUGUCGUCUAAAAAGAACCUUAAAUUUUCAAUUGCGCGUGAAAGCAGUUUUCUCACCCUUAACGAAUUUGAAAUUUUCCCGCUCAUAACGAAUUAUGGUGCCACUUCUUUGUGUGACUCAGACGACAUAAAUAUGUGGUAGUAAGAGGUCCGAAAUUGGUCAACAAACGAUAUGCCUAUUAUCCAUACGGAAACGCUCUUAUCUCCUCCGGCCGAACUUAUUUUUUUUAUUCGUGAAUGCUAGAAAUCUCAUUGAGUACCCGCGAAACUAAUCCAUGAGAAAAUUUAGACACGUUUAUAAACCUGUUAUAUAGGUCCCCAUAGAAAAGUUAAACGUAAAUAAAGUUGACUCAUACAAUCAAAACUCAAACAUUAUCGAAAAUUGGUAAGUUUUCUACCGUAUCCAUAUUUUACUUAUGUGAUCACAUCGUACGGUCAAAUUUUGCAAAUUAGAUUUCGUUCAUACAGUUGGCUUAUAAAGAUACAUGUUUAGGCAUAAUGUAGUAAACAUCUUAUAACACAUUAGUAGACACGUUAUGAUUGAAAUGACUAAAACUAAAAAAAUUCAAGUUUGAGUAUUGGAUAUUAUCAUGAUAGCGAAACCUAGCCAUGGUACAAAAUUUAGACAUUUUCGAUAAUGUUCGGGUUCGGUCAAUGCAGUCAACGUUAGAUUGAUCAUUUUUUCAAUAAACUCAGACUAUAUAUACAUGUUGUCUGAUUAAUACUUGAAAAAGUCAACACAAUUAUCAAAAUGGAAACGCUCUUAUCUACUCUGCCCAAAACUUAUAUUUUUGAUUCGUCAAAACUCAAACUCUCAUUUAGUAUUGGUGAAACUAAUCCAUGUGAAAAUUCAGACACUUUUACAAAUCGAUAGUAUAGUUCCCCGUAGAGAAGCAUAAAGAUGUAUAUGUGUAAAUAAAGUUGACCCAUCCGAUCGAGACCCAAACGUUAUCGAAAAUGGGUAAACUUUCUAUCGUAUCCAUAUUUAACUAUUUUGAUCACAUUGUACGGUCAAAAUUUGCAAAUUAGAUUUCGUUCAUACAGUUGUCUUAUAAAGAUACACGUUUAGGUAUAAUCUAAUAAACGUUUUAUAGCAUAUUAGUAGCCUCGUUAUGAUGGAGAUGAAUAAAACUUAAAAAAUUAAAGUUUGAGUAUUAGAUAUUAUCAUGAUAGCAAAACCUAGCCAUGGUACAACAUUCAGACAUUUUUGAUAAUGUUCGGGUCUCGGUCGACACGGUCAACGUUAAAUUGAUUAUUCUUUAAUAAACUCAGACUACAUAUAUAUGUUGUAUGAUAAACACUUAAAAAAGACAAAACAAUUGACCUGAAAAAUAAUAGAAAAGCUCAAUUAAAAAAAAGAAAAAAGGAUAGAAAGUGAGGUUUAAGGGUCAGGAGUUAGGGUAUAGCAUGGGUGUUGGCAAUCUAUUUCUGAGUUUUCCCAUUCUUUCUUUUCUCAUCUGAACCAUUGAUUCACCUUUUAAAAGGGAAGAAACCCUAGCCUCUCCCAUUUCAGUUCGAGAGGUAAAGAGAAACUAAGAUGAGAGCAGCUGCCGCACUGUCGUUGAGCCCUUUCUCCGCUGCCCUUAUCCCGCUGCCGGCCGAAAGGACACCGUCAAUCAACUCCCUUAUCUCUACUCUUCCUCCUCCUACCCACCUGUUCACCAUAUUUGGAGGAGGACAAAAAGUUGCCCUAAACCCCCUUUUCUGGUUGAUUCUCCUCUUCUCCUCACGGUAAACAUCCAUCUCUAUUCAUCUUACCCAGCCCAUCUUAUCAGAUUCUUGUGGUCAUGAUAUAGUCAUCAGAAACUACCUUCCAGAGAGUUGUAACUAGUGUGCCUGUCUCUUCUGCAGUUGGCUAUUACUAUUUCUUCUCCAAGCAGGUCCGCAGAGGUAUAGUUUAUGGCGAUCAACCAAGAAAUAGGUAGGAUGACUUUAGUGUACAUUUUUGUGUUUAGAGCAAUAAAUAUUUUACAACUCAACAUUUUCUGUAGUAAUAGCUGAAAUUUUGUUCUACAGGCUAGAUCUGUAUCUACCCAAAAAUUCUGAUGGGCCAAAACCAGUCAUUGCAUUUGUAACUGGUGGAGCCUGGAUUAUUGGGUGAGUGAUUGAUUCUUGUAUGUUUAUUUCUGAAUGGUUCCUUGAUGGUGUAGCAUGCAUAUCUGUUCGUUUUCGGAGUGUAAAGCUCAGUAGAGCUGAGAUGUAGAUUAAUCAGAUCACUAUUCUAGGAACAUGAGUCCAAUGCUUGAGUUGUAGCUCCAAUGUGAUGGUUUUGCUUCUCUUUUUCCCCCUUUUUUGUUUCACUUGAUAUAGGAUCACGUCCUUGUUAAUUCUCGGCAAUGAUUUUCCUAUCAUCCUAUAUCGAAGUUGAACUAUUGCGUACUUGUACAUUUGUUUGCUACUGAAACACAAUAAGCUAACUUAGAUAAUUAGCCCUUGGUUGCCCUAUAUUCUAAUCACCUUUUUUAUUCCCAACAUAUGGUAUCUUUCUUUGUAAAGAAAAAGCCACUGAUCAAUCAUAAUAUCACUUCAGAUUUUCUCUUUUACGAGAAUGUUGUUUCUUGAAACUGAUAUCCUUUUAACAUACACGUACUGUAAUAGUAGUUAGUCUUUUGGGAGUAUUACUGCAUUGGUGUAAAUGUAUGCUCUAUAGUGAAAUGCUUGUCAGGAUGGAAAUAAUAAAAUGAUGGACUGAACUCAUUUAAAACUGAUGCUGGGAUGGUCAAAGCACACAACUUUUCUUUGUUCUAUACUUUUCCUUUUCAAGCAUAGAAGAUAACUAUUAAAUCCUUUAUUUGGAUUUGUUAAUAUAGUAAUCUGCUAAUUUUAUAGAUCGAAAGAGCUACAUGCUCCCUCUAUAACUCUGCUUAAGAGAUCUAGGUUUCUCGUCUGUCCUUAUCUUUAAGAUAUCUCGUUAUGCAAUUAAAGAUGGGCUUUGCUUGCAAUUAAUCUUGAUUUCGUAUAUCAGAGAUAGUUUGAGUGCAGACAAAUGCAUUCUUGGUUCGUUUUUUUCCUGCUCCCCAUUAAUUAUGUAAGAGCUAUUUCUUUGUUACAAGUGAUAAUAUCUCUUUCAACUUGUUGUCAAUUUGGGUGUUUAAUUAGUAGUGGGAGUUUGCAAUGCGGACGCAAAGUACUUAAGUGGGAGGGUAUAUAAUUUUUUCCAUUGAAUCCAAGUUCUCAAUGUUGUUUGACCCGUCAAUGUUCUUAGUGUCUUAGUUUUACUAUGAAAGAGAUAAGGUACUUGCUUCUGGUAUUGUUAUUUACUAGCUAAUAAAAUGAUGUGGUAUUCAUUUUAUUAGUUAGUUGCUUCUGGUAUUGCUAUUUCUGAGUUACGGAGCUUUUGCUUUGUUAGUUGGUUGGAGUGUUUGUGGUAUUCAUUUUCAGUAUUGGGUUUUGGUUUGUCAAUUGAAAAUUGAGGACUUUGAACUGAUUACAGGUCAGUCGGCUAAUGGAUUUGAUGGUGUACAGACUCUAGCCACAAGGAGGUGAUCCUUUGAGUGUCACAUCCCAACCCGUAAAUUUUUUACCUUAUUUACUAGCUUGGUCUCAAUAAGAAUUUUACCGUCUCCGUUAAUGAAUUUAUAGUUUUUGGUGCCUAGAGGGGUUUUGAGGGACGAUUUUAGAGGAAUUAUUCGUAAGAGAAAAUGUGAUAACGGUAAAAAUGGUUAAAUUUUGGUUAGUAAAAGGUAAUCUUUAUUAAGGUAUUUUUUUUUAUUGGGGUGUUUUAUGUUAUGAAGUGUGGGUAUUAAGGAGCAGAUCGGGUCACAUUUUAGUGGAAAAAGCCCACUCUCUCUCUCUUCUCUCCCUCUUCCCCCGAGCCCUCUCCCCGUUGGACUUCUAGCCACCCGUCCGCCGCCGUCCUGCCACCUGAGACCGAUGCUCUGGUCCUGAUCGGUUGACCUUCGACCCAGCUCCCAUCCUAGACUGGUGAGAGCUCUCCUAGCGUCGUUGUGAGGGAGAGUUGCCGUCCGAAGGUCCCGACUGCCCAAAGCUCUCUGUCGUCGGAACUUCCUCCUUCCGCCACCAAUCCGGGCAAGCCUUACAUGGUUUGGAAGGCCUUCAACCUAGUUGCCUUGCCCUAGGAGGACUCGGUCCAGUUUGCUUCAGGUGAGGAGAACCGAUGAGUGGAAGUUCUAGGGCUUUUUGUGAUGGUUUUGUUCGAUUGACCUAGUUAGGGUUGGAUUUGGUGUUUGUGUUAGUUAGGAAAGUUGUAGAGGGGGUUGAGAGGAUACUGUUGUUAAAAUUCACAUCAAUAACUCCCCUUAAUUCACAUCAAUCCGGCCGCCGCUGUUUAGGGGAUUUUCAUGGUUUUAUAUUGGUUAUAUUAAGGGGAGUUAUUGAUGUGAAUUUUAAAAUUUUUGGAGGAGUUUUGGAUAGAUUUGGGAAUUUUUAAAGUUUGGUAAUUAGCGGAUUAAUAAGGUAGAAUCCGGCCGUUGGAUUAAAGUCGUAUAAUAUGUGGAAGGGUGUAAUUAAGGCUGCUGUUUUUAGUGUUGAGGUGUGGACCAUUUCGAAGUUAGGCAAUAAUGAGCGUGAGUAUGGCUCGCGGUUAAUUUUUGUAUAUUUUGUAUAAAUAUUGGAUUUUUAGUUGGGAAAUUAAUUAUAUAUUUGGAACAGGACGAGAGGACGCCCGAGCAAAAGAAGCCUCAGAGCGACAUCAGGCUUAGGCCUAAUUUGUGAGUGGACUUUGUUUUAAUAUAAGAGCAUGCGAUGCAUCAUGUUGUUGAUCAGUUAUUUUUCUUCGGAGAUUCUUUAAUUGCUUUCUCUUAUAUUUGACAAUUUUCCUCUUUUGGAGAGUUCUCGAAAAUGAGAUUUUCGGAGGAUAUGUAUAAUGGAUAUUUAUGAGUAUAAUAUGUAUAUAAAUGCUAACUAGCCAUAUGUACUUGGUCCGUCAUAAUGAGGUAAAAUUCCAUUAUGGCGUGACGUGAGUGUUAGAUACAAGCAUCAUAGCCCUAUAUGAAAACUACUUUUUAUUUGGUUCAUAUAGGUUUUCAUAUAGGGAGUCCACACGUAUGUACACCCGUCCUCUUCGGUCAUAAUGAAGAAAAAUUUCAUUAUGGCGCGACGUGAGCGUUAGAUGCAAGCGUCGUAGCCUUGUAUGAAAUUCUAUUUUUCUACUUUGUUCAUAGAAUUCGUACAAGGAGUCUGAUGAGUGUAAAUACAUACAUAUUUUUUAUAUAAAUUAGCCUGAGAGGCUCCAUUUUUAUUCAAGUUUUGGAGACUAGCCGGAGCUAGUUAUGAAAUUGCCCGUGUGUGAGUUGAGUGUUUUUGAGCUGUCGCAUGUAGCAUAUCUUCUUUGGAAAUUAAAAUGGGAAUGCAUAAAUAUUUUAUUUAUUAAUUUAUUUUUGUCCACUCACUAACAUUUUCAAAUGUUUUCUCAUGGGUCCUUCGUUUUAAAAAUGUCCAGUCUGCAGAGUUCGGGUUGGCACUAAUCAGAGGUGAGGCAUAGUUACCCACAUCUCUUCCACCUUUCAUCAGUAGAUUACCUGUUAAUCUACUACCAUAUUUUCUUGCUUCCGCUAGUGUUUUGUAGCUCUGAUUACCUUGAGAUCAUUGUAUAAUAGUUCGGUAAUGUGCUAAGUUUUAGAUUUAAAUUUGGAAUAUUUGAGGGUUGAAGUUUGUUAUCUUAAUUGGAUAAUAAUGAGUUGGAUUAGAAGAUGAUAUUAUUUAUGUGUGUGGUGGUUGUGUUGUGGGGGAGUGGGUAGCUCCAGGUUUUGAAGUUGGAUGUGUUGUUAUAGGAGUUAUCUGAAUUUUUCAAGGUAGGGUUGUCAAUUUUCAAGGGAGGUUAUGUCGAAUUUUUCAGUAAAUUUUUCUUGGAGGUGGACCCCGUAAGACUUAUUUUGGGUUUCAGGGUGAAAUUCGGAGUGGGUCUUGACAUUAAAAGCUUGUUAGGUAAGCUGCAUAUGUAUAGGCCUUGAUAAUUUUCAGAGAAUAUUUAGAAUUAUGUCCAUUGGUCUAUGUUUAUGUGCAAACUUUGUUUUGUUAUCAUGUUUAGUAAUGCAAGUGAUGCUUUGGACAAAUAUCAUUUAAUUAUAUCUAAUGCCUCUUUGGUCUUCUUGUGGAAAAUUGUAGUAUGUGCAUCUGAAGUUUUACAAUUGUAGAAACCAAUAGUUAUGUGUUCAUCAUUGCAGCUACCUACCCAAGUAAUUAAUGGAAAUUCUGAUAAGGCUGAACCAAAUAACACAAUAGUAAGUAAUUUUUUAUUUUGCUUACAUUGAACAAUUCUUUGGGAUGAUACUAACUCAUGAGUUUUGUGAGUACAUAUAUUUGGUAGCUAGUUCAUGUCAAGAUACCAGUAGGCAAGCAAUGUGGUUUUGUUCAAUUUGCUAGCAGGUAACAACUCUACUUCCCGUUGUUGUAGAAUUCAGUUUCAUUAGUCCUCUCUUUUUCUCUCUUUUUCCCGUUUUCUUUAUUAAAUACAUGUUGCUGGAACAUGCUUAUAUUUACAUGUGACAUAUUUCAGAUCUUGUGCAGAGUAAGCAUUGUCGAUGAUCAAUGGAAUGGGGGAGUAGUGGGAUCAUGAGUGUAGUCAUAUGUACAUUAGGAUCAAUAUGUAUUGUUAUUGUACACGUAUUUUUACGCUUCAAAUAAUUUUGUAAUUGAAGUAGGUUCUUAACAUUAAAUAAAGUGCUACUUUCUUUUAUUUUAUUCUUAGUUUUUGUUACAUAUGAAGUUCAAUUCACAAUCACACAACAUAAGAACAAGCAACAAGAAAAGAAACAAGAAGGUGAAGUCCAAUGGACAAUCAGACAACAUAAAUUUUUAUAAACAAGCAGCAAAAAUAUGAAGUCUAAUAGAUAAUUAAACAACAUGAGUCAUCAUAUCCUAUAACAUAAAAUUGCAGCUAAACGAACUAUCAGACGACAUAUAUUUGUCAUUGGUUUUAUAUUGAGACGACAUAAAGUCUAAUAACUUUUCAAAUUUGACAACAUCAGACGACAUUAAAUUGUCAUUAGAAACCUCAUCUAACCACAUCAGAUAAAUGUAUUUGUCAUUGUAGAUUAUGUAGCUCGACGAUUAUAUGCAAUAUAAGGUAAUAUCACACUACAUCUAUUUCAAUAAAUCUUUCAAUUUUUCUUCUUUCACUCGACAUAUAAAUGUUGUUAGUCUUUCAUACAGAAGAAAUAAAGUUAGGAAACCUUCAGACAUGUCAAAUAUCAGUCGACAUAUGUUCUGUCGUCUGAUCAACACUCAGACGACAGUGGAGAACUGUCGUCUGAUCAUCAAUCAGACGGCAGGGCCUCAGAUGACAUAUAAAUUUUUGUUAGACGACAGUGCUCAACUGUCGUCUGAUGAUGUUUUUGGCAUAGUGUGAAUAUAUCAUAUAAGGAUAAUUUUAAAAAAGAAAUGGGUGAGGUAAGUAAAUUUGGUAUUAAAAAUUAAGAUGUAGGAUGAAAUGAGUAAGUAGGGUGAAUAAGAUGAUGGUUGUUUCGGCGUGAUUUCUAAGAGGGUGAAUCACACAGAAUACAGGAAGAACACCAUCUUCAAGACCCAUAACCUGUUAAUCAUGAGCAAAUGUCGUCAGGGGGAAGACCGGGUUUGCCGGCCUUCGACCCUCCGAUGCCUAAGUCAGCCACAUAAGAGUAGAAAUAAGGUAUGAAUAGGGUGGAGAUGGAGACUUACCCAAAUGAGGGGUGAAAACAUGUAUUUAUAGAGAUAUGGUGAUUGCACCCUAAAAGUACCAUUUUGCUCUUACUGGAGAGUGUAUUACUAUUGUGCCCUGUUGUGCCCUCAAGGGAGAGUGUAGGUUUCUUGGGCCUAGUUAAGGCCCAAGCCCAUUUUAUGUGGUAAUAUGUGUUUCUUAGGUGAGUAGGACCGAUGUUCUAUCUCUCACAUAUGAUGUAUUAACAAGUCCCCAAGUCCGCGGUCAAGAGACUCUCUUGGGUGGGGACUUUAUCUGAUAGAGUAUCGGGAGUACGAGCCUUACUAGUGGCGACAUAACCAGUCCCCAGUCCCCCAAGUCCCCAUGCAAGGGAGGGGAUGGACCGGCUCCCUCUAAGUGGGGUGUCCCGUGCUGCUAUAGUUUUGUCACGUUAUAGGAAAUUGUGAUGUCAUGAUAUCUUGCCUAGAGAUACACAUGAAUGUGAGACACCGGGACAGUUGCACCCGUGUAGUGUCAAGAGGUUGUUGGGCGAUAGGGGGUCGAAGUUUAGGUACCGCUCGGUGCCAGGUGUGGGAACUCUGGUGAGCAUCGCGCAUAGGUAGCGGGUACCGGCAUGUUUGUAUGCCUUAGGCCUUAGGCUUUCAGUAGCCUUUGAUUUGUAUCAGCUAUAUGCUCUAGCCAGCUGAGCUAUUCUAGCCUGUGUUGCAAGGGGAGAUUGUGGUGACAUAUUUUGUUGUUGCCUCUAGGUGAGUGUUAGAGUGCCUACGAACUUGUUUAUGGGAUCAGACCAAACGUAGUUCACCAUUUCGCCAUUGAGGCAAGUGUGCCAUCGAGGUGUGGUGAGGAGUGCCGCUGGGGCAUGGCGAUGGUGCCGCUGGGCAUGGCCAGGGUGCCGUUGAGGCAAGGAGGAAGUGCCGCUGAGGCAUGGCGAGAGGUGCCACUAGGGCAUAGUGAUGGUGCCAAUAGGGCAUGUAAAGAGCUGUCGAGGAAGGGGUGACUAUCGCUAUGGCAUAGUGAAAGCACGCUAGGAAGCAUGGCAAAGAUGCCGAGAGCACGCUAGGAAGCAUAACCAAGAUGUCAAUAGGGCAAGGCGGGUGUUGCCAAAGUGUACCGAGAGCAAGCCACAAGGCGUGGGAAAUGUCGGCAUAUAAGGUUGUUGCGCAAGUCCCCUAGUGCCGGGAGAGAUUAUGGUGGUUGGGAACCGAAGCAAGGACUGAUUUGGCAUGGGAGAUUUCCUAUGGUGUGCUGACUUGAAUGUAAUUCACGCAAGCGAACGUAUCGUUGUCAAGAUAGGGAAGUAUUUGUGCCCAAGUUAUCGUACCACGGGGAUUAGUGGCUAACCCACAAUCCUAAGCUAAUCGGAACAAAAGUCACUAAGCAAACAAAGAAAAAGAAGAAAAAUGCUACUCUAAAGCACCAAGCCUUAGCAAUUCUCGGCCUUAGUUAUCACCAAAGCCUAAUCAAUAUUAAAUGCCUAGUGAUGGGUAAUUACAAUGAGUCGAUAUAUAAAAUGGAGAUUGAAUGGGGAAUUAACUAAAUUGACGAAAACCUAAAUGAAAAAUAAACUACUAACUAAUAAACUAGAGAAUGAUGAGAACAUGGGAGUGUCGGGUGAUCCACACUAACUCAUAUGCAAACAUCGAUACCAAUUUCACAAAUGCAUAUCCUAUUGUAUCAAGUCCCGUAUCUAAUACCGGUUAAGGCUACUAGACCAAUUAUCCUUUCGGUGUAUCGAUUAUGCCGGUUAAGGCCACAAUCAACUCUCUAACAUGGGCAUUACGCAGGUUAAGGCCGUAACAUCCAAAUUAGAGGCCUAGAGUGCAAGAUAAUAGAGACCCAAGCAAGCUUUGCUACAAUCAAGCUAGCUAAUGGUUACCACACUUCAAAUCCUAGAUGCACAAGACUAGUAAGUUGUCAAUUUAUCAAUCUAUCUAUCAAAUUGUCCACAACAUAAUCUCAAAGGGUGACAAAACCUAGAAACAUGUUUAUAAGGACCAACACAUUCGGAUUCAAAGCAUACACAAUGUAAAUUGCAUUUAUAUCAAUCAAAGUACCAACAUUAUACAAAAUGAGUUUAGGGCUUCAAUACCCUAACUCCCAAAAUUAAAUCACUCACAACCCAUAGUCAAAUACAUCAUCAAUAGCAUAUAAGAUAAAUGAAUAGACAAUAAGGAAGAGAGGGGGAGAUCUAGUUUGGUCACUUCAAGCUAUGAGCUAGUAUGAACCCAAGUAAACCUUUCACCCAACUACCCAAUUGAUGAGGAAGUGGUGCUCUUGAUGAUGAUGCCUUGAAACCUUUAGUGAGUCCUUCAAGUCUAACUAAAUUGUGAAAUGAGAAGAAAGGGAAGAGAUGAAGGGAUGAAAUGGUGAUGAGUGGUGUUGGCGACGGGAAAGGGCAAGAACCCUUCCCUUUUUCGUCUGUGCGGCUCCCUCUCUUCUCCUCUGUCUGUGGCUGGUUCCUCAGAGAAUGAAUGAGAUGAUUAUAUAUGACUUGGUCCGGUUGUGUGGUUGUAGAGGAAAAGAAGUGAUUAGGCCACGUGGCAGCUCCUCAUUGGAAGAGGCAUGGGAUUAGCACAUGAGAGGGAAAUGGAAAAUGAGCACGUUUUGGCCUUUGGCAAUCAUAAUUAACCAAUUAAUAAUUGGUUAAUUAAUUGAUUAACUACCAAUUUACUUCUUUCUCUUUUUCUUUUUGAGAAGAACUUCAUUUCGCUCCGAAAUUGUGCUAAUUCCCUAUGAAAUCUGCAUUCUUCUUAUUUCCUACAAAUAAAUAAAAUGGGAUUAAUUACAUCAUAAUUGGCUUGAAUAUUAGCUUAGUUCAUGUUUUUAGUGUCAGGACCCAUCCCGAAUUUCACCCUGAAACCCGAGGUAAAUCCUGCGAGGUCCACCUUCAAGGAAAAUUUACCGAAAAUUCGGCAUAACCUUCCUUAAAAAUGGACAACCCUUUCCUGAAAAAUCCAACUUAACACUUCUAUAAUCAAACAUCCAUCCUCAUCUUCUGGAGCCUUCCUGCUCCCCAAGUUCAUCAAAACUCCCAAUAACAAUUUCUCAUCUAAUAAUAAUUCCACAACCAACAACAAAGACAUUUAAUAAGCUGCUACUAGACUUUCAGAGCAUAUCUAAUGAUGAAUGAAAACAAAUAAGCGAAAGCAGCCUCUGACUAUGCCUCGACUCCAUGUACGCUCGUCCUCAAAUAACUUAGCCUGCAAACUAGGCAUUUAUAAACCAAAAGGCCCAGGGGAAAGUAAUUUAAAAACGUUAGAGUGAGUGGACGAAAAUAAAUUCAAUAACUUAACAAUUAUAAAACUUAUAUACUUUCCCACUUUUCAACUUUUAAAACUUAACAGCAUGCAACUUAAACGUCCUUAAAACUUUAAAUCCAAAAUCACUUAAUAAAGGACAAACCAGCCCCGCUGGUUAGUUAAAACAGAAAUCUCAUAAGAGGAGAUAAACCAGCCCUGUUGGUUAAUCAAAUAUAUUAUUGAGAAGAAUAAAAUAGGGGAAGAGUUAUCACCAUGAAAAAGGAGCCUCCCAGGUUAUAAUAGCAUCCCACGCUAAGCGCUCAACUCACAUAUGAUGAGGACCACUAAAUAAGGCUAUAAUAGCUCCCACGCUAAGUGCUCAACUCACAUAUGAUGAGGACCGCUAAUAAGGCUAGCUACCUAAUAAAUAUAAAUACCGAUCGGUUGCCUCCCAGGCUAUAAUAGCGUCCCACGCUAAGCGCUCUACUCACAUAUGAAGAAGACCGCUAAUAAGGCUAUAAUAGCGACUCACAUAUGAUGAGGACCGCUAAUAAGGUUAGCUAGCAAUAAUUAAGAUAAACGACCCUAUAAUAUAGUGACUAAAACAUACGAAGUCACUUAAAUCCAUUAAACUUCCCCCAAGACCAAACGAAUGGUACGGUUCCCAACCGUACAUGAAAAUCAUCAAAAGAAAUCAUAACACAACUCAAUGACGUGUCUCACACGUCAAAAUAUUCUCCAAUUUAUAAAUAUAAGCGAGAUUUCAAUAACAAAUAUGAAUCAUAAAUAAUAGUAUCUCCGCCCGAAAAUACUCGCUAAAAUAUUCUCCAAGUCAAAAAUCAUUACGCCUCAAAUAAACAAUUAAAUUAUGAGGAGAACUACCGACAAUCCCAUUUUCGGUAAUCAUUUAAAAAACUCAAAGUCAAGAUCGAUAUUCCACCAAUAAUUUCGAGAAUUAAAAAUAGGAAACUACCGAAAAUCCCAUUUUCGGAAAUCUUAUAUAAAUCUCAAAAUCCACCAUUAAAACCAUUUAAUGAAAUCCGGAAUUUAUAAAAAUAUCCAAACUCAAAUAUCAAAAUAAUAAUCCGAGCUCAACUCCAUAAAUCAUGACCAACACUUAAUAAAUGCACCAAACUCAAAUAAUUUUCUAGCUCAUCUCAUGAACUGAAAAAUUAUAUUAUAUGCUCGGAAAAUAAAAUGAUAGAUUAUAAAAUCUUGCAUGCAUAUUUAUUUUUAAAACCAAAAUGUCCACUCACAAAUUUAGGCAUAAGCCCGACAAUAACCGCAACGCUACUCAAGCGAGGUUCCAUUCGCAUCCUGGCACAACAACCAUGCUUAGAACCAAACUUCAAUUCCAGAAAAUAAAUACGUGAAUUAAAAUAUCUAACUCUCCUCCGUUUAACCCUCUAUUCUUAAUAGGGUUAAACUCGCCGGAUUCACACCAAACUCCACCACAACCUUAAUUCAUCAAUUCUAACAUUCUAUAAUAAAUACCAAGGAAAUCCAACGGCCGGAUUUUCAUUCUAAUAACCGGCAUUUUCUCCAAUCUCUGAAAAAUUCCAAACCUAACCAAAACUCAUCCAAAAAUUCCAAACUAUACUUCAAUAAACUCCUCUUAUUAAAACCAUCUCAAAAACAGGAAAAACUGCCCUUAAGGAGCGGCGGUGGCAGCUGCCCCGCUGGUGGCGGUGGCCGGCAGCAGUUUUCCGGCGACCUCUAAUACUUCUCAAAUUUUCACAGAAUAUUCCUCUCAUCAUGCUCAAUAACAUUCAUAACUAGCACUUAGUCCAUUUCUAAGGCUAACUAGGGCAAUCGAACCAAAACAUCCAUAAAUCCCUAAAAGUUCAAUUAUACAUUUCUCUAUAACCACAACGAGAUAGACUAAUUUCUUUUGAGGGAUUACUCACCUUGAUGAGGGCUACAAGAUGAGCCAAAGAUUUCGACCUAUGGCGGCCGGAGGUGGGAUUUCCGGCGAAAAGCUUCCCGGCGGGCUAACGGCUCGGGGGCUAGGCCGGGGAGGGAGAGGAGGUGGCGGGGGGGGGGGGGUCGGGGGCAGAGGUGGUCCGGCGGUCCCUGGCGGCUAGACGGCAGCGGACAGAGGCUCUUCUCCGGCGGGUCAAGUUGCACGGGUGAGGGAGGGAGAGAAAGUGACGGGUGAGGGAGAGAGGGAGAGAGAGGAAAUGAGGGGGGAGGGUUUUGGGCUGCUCCACAGCCGGCCCAGCUAUAAACCCAACAAAAAAAUAAUACCUAUUAAUAAUUACCCCCUUUUUCCGACUCAAAAUUUACUCUUUUAAUAAUAAUUUUUUUUCAUGCUUACUCCGAUUUUAACACAUAGAUUUCUACGAACUCGUAUUAACGUCCUCUACAACUUUCAUGAAGAAAGUUUCCCCAAAUUCUAAACGGAAAAGAAAGUCAACUUUAGGGUCCUUAAGGGGUAACCGGUUACUUAACACGGUAAAAGACCAAAAUAACACCAAAGUAAAUAAUCGUAAAAUAACUUAAGAACCGGAGUGUGACAUUUAGAAUAUAAUUAAGUGUAUAAAAAUACACGUAAUCAUGUGCUCGAGAGGUGAGGAAUGUCAUGUGUCGGGAAGUGCCUUAAGCACUUUGGUGACUUGUAGGUGUCACGCGCCGGGGAGUGUUUAUAGACUCGUCUCGGGUAGCUUAUAGAUGAUAGAUGUCGUGUGCCUGGGGAGUGUAUUCGCCACAGUUGGCUUAUCUAUGGUGAUAUUAUGCUGAUAGGUGUUGUAACCUUGUGUAUUUGGAGUAACGAGGUGUUGGAAUAUCGACGUGGAGAUUGAUUGUAGUGACCAAAGUCCUUAGCGUAACCAUGAGAGAACAAAGUCAUGAGGAUAGAAGAACCAUGGGAAGCAGCCAUGGAGACUAUCUAUAUGUGAGCAACCGACAUGUAACCAUAGGGAGUAGUGGUGGAGAGAUCAUAGAGAUCAUGUUAUGUAUAGAGAAAAAAGAAAAGAAAAUAAAACAAAAAAGAACCAAAGAGAAACCACGAGGAGACAGUGAAAAGACCAUGGAGAGUAGAGUCGUAUAUCAUGGAGAGCAAUCGCAGAGAGUCGCUGCAGGGGAUGACUGACGUGUGUAACUUUGAGAACAUGUCGUGACUGUACUGGAGGAUGUUGUUGAAAUAUUAUGGUGGUACUAUAUAGAUCUAAUGGCGUGGUGCCAUGAGAGGUUAUCAUGGCAAGAGUGGUGCCAUGAAAGAUCAUGAUGAAAUACCUUUCCUCGAGGUGAGGUUGUUGCAUACGCUCGUGGAGUGUAUAGCUUGAGAUUGCAUGUUUGUAUGUUGGCUGUGCACACUCGUGGUGUGUGUAGCCUGAGAUUGCACGUUGGAGUGUUGGCUGUAUACACUUGUGGUGUGUGUAGCCGUCUGUGGCGUAGUUAAGAGGCGUGGCUGUGUGUCAUGUAUCAUGAAGUGUGUAUGAAACUUCACUAUAUCAUAACUCGAAGGUGUCGCGACAAAGGGCUGCCACGACCUAUUGGUGUCAUGAAAUAUCAAGGCUCUUGUUCGAGAGAAUAAGAUCAUAGAUAUAUAACAGGUAUAUAUGGCUUGCAAUGAUUUGUAGCAAGUGUCAUAUGGUUUCCAAGUAUGUGUGUUUUGCAUGUACAUGAAAAUUAUAUUUAACAUGUGUACGUGACAAAGAGUGUUUGCUAACUCUAUGACAUGUAAAAAGCAUGCUUACGAAUAUUAUGAUGCAUGAGGCAUGUUAUUUGUAUGAUAAUAACUCAAUUAAAUAGUGUAAAGUAAGACUUAUCUAGAGCCGUGUAGAGCCGCUAUAAAUAUUGUUGAAAAAUUAGAGUUGUCGAUAUAAGACUCCAUGUCAGCAAAAGUGCCCUCAAGGCUCAUGUAAGUAUCUCGUUGGGGUAGCGGGACCAGUGGACUCAAUCAUUAAGCUCCCUGAGUAAGAAUCCCGAUAGAGUUGUCGAACCGAUGAUAGGACUCAAUCAUUGAGUUCACCGGUGAUGAUAAUGUUAAUGUUUUACUAAGAAGUAAUAUGUGUAUUAACAUAGAAGAGAGAAGUCGAUGGUAGCACAAGAAUGAGCUCUGUAACAUGUGUCGGCAUGUGUCGGAUGAUAUUUGAGGCAAGUAGAUGAGCAUACAAAGUGUUACCAUUGAUAAAGACGAGAGAGCUUAAUAUCAUGUUGUUCGUGGAUAGCUCAUAGAACUGUAGGUGCACAAGUUAUACAAAAUGUUGACAUGUCGACAACUUGCUGUUGGGCUUGACCCGAUUCAAUUUAUAUGGUGCCGAGAGGGCAUGACAAUUGAAGUCUUGAGAGUUGAACUAGGUAGCGAGCUAGGCAUAGGAAUUGGUGAAGCUUGUGUGAACAGGUGUCUAAGAAGUAACAACCUGUGUCAUGUGUUGUAGGAUCAAGUCGGUGGUGAUAGUUAAAUAACCAAAUAAUAGAUGUAGUGGUGUGGUAGCACUUAGAGUGGUGACAAUAUGACAUGGGCAAGUAUGGGAGUCAUAUAGUUAUGCGGUCUCCAUGAGAUAAUUAACCAAAGGCAUGUUGUCCUCUAGAGAUGCAGUCAAUCAUAGAGGCAUGUAUAUAUAGGGAGAUGCAUGAGAUUAAUAGCACGUAGCAUCUGAUAUAUGUGGUUGAUCAAUUAACCAAAUAGUCAAAUGAGGCGUCCACAGGAGAGCUUGUGCAUGCAACACACAGUGAACUAGUGAGCACGUGUAACUCAGCAUGGACAAACCGUAUAUUGCAAAGCAUAUAUACUCAUGUAUAUAUAUCAAUGAUCAAGGACAUGAUCAUAUGUAGUACAGAUACGACGAACUUCAUGUGGGAAGCGAGUGCGAACUGGAGUAUCAAGGGGUUGAAGAUUGAGCUUUUAGAUCUUGGGUCUCAUGUAAGAGCAGUGAGCGCGCUGCCGCCGUUGCCGGGAGCGCAUUAAUUUAGAGAGUAGAGGCCAUAGGGGAGGUCGUGAUAGUCCAUUAGGCGCACGUUUGGUACGUGCGUUUGGACUGGACUGGACUGGACUAACUAACAUAAGAAAAUAAGACAAAUCUUGUGUUUGGGAGAAUCAGGGAUUCAAUUUGAUGAGCUUUCGGAAGCUCCGUGUCCUCUCCACACCGUGUCACAGAGCGGCCCCAAAAUUGGGGGGACUCUAUAAGCUCUUGCUAUUCAACGCAGACGGAGGACUCUAGUGAGCUCAUGUGCAAAAGACGAAGUUCCUCGCCUCUCUUCUCCUCGUCUGUGAAAUUCCUCCUCUCGUUGCCGAUUCCAAGUUUGAUCUCCUCUCCUCUCGCUCUCUCUCGUUUUCUCUCUCUCUCUCUCUCUCAUCUUCAACCCUAAGCUGUCGCUAUUCAACACAGACGGAGGACUCAACUGCUCAAGUGCAAAAGACGAAGUUCCUCUCCUCUCUUACUCCUUGCUUGUGAAAUUCCUCCUCUCAUUGCCGAUUCCAGGUUCGAUCUCCUCUCCUCUCUCUCAUCUUCAGCCCUUCUCUGCCUUCUUUGUUCGUUAUCGAUCUGUCAUUUGAGUGAAAGGUCGAUUACAUAGAAAAUGUUCAUGGGUUGUAUGUAUCUUGAUUGAUUGUUUAAGGAUUGGAUAUCUGGGUAACUUGAUCUACUAUGAAUUGAUCAAUUUCAUGGCUGAAUUUUGUUUUGUUUUUUUGUUUUUGUUGGGUGAGUAGUUCAUUGAUUUAUAUGUUCCUGUGAAUAUUAGAUAUGGAUUGAAGACAAAUUUUGUUGCUCUUAUUGCUGGAGUUGUGGCACCUAGAGACCAUGUUUGCUUGCAUUAUGCUUGUGCAACUGAUGUUUAAUUUAAGAAGAAGACGAGCUGAAACACAUGCCCUAAGUAAUCGUUCAUUCAUUAGACAUCAAACUCGUUUGAGUUACCUAGAUAGUAUCAUAGGCAAUAGUGACACUGAGUGUGUAAAUGAAUUGAGAAUGGAUAGAAGGUGUUUUGGCCUACUGUGUGAAUUGUUGCAGACAGAUGGUAGGGUAAAGAAUGAUGGUUUGGUGUAUGUGGAGGAGUAAGUAUGCAUGUUUGUACAUAUACUUGCACAUCACGUGAAAAAUCGUAUUAUUACAGGUAGGUUUUUCAGAUCUCGAGAGACUAUUAGUAGGUACUUCAAUUAUAUACUACAAGGUGUUUUACGAUUGCAAGGGAGUUUGUUGAGGGUACUUGAUCCAGUACUUGCAAACUGCACAGAUCGUCGAUGGAAGUGUUUUAAGGUUGAUUUAUUGUGGGGGCUUCAUUUUUUGUUUUAAGCUUGACCUAUGACCUGUGUCUAUGUAGUUAAUAAACUUAAUGAAUUUUUUGUUUUAAUAGAAUUGCUUGGGGCACUAGAUGGAACUUACAUUAGAGUAUGUGUGCCUGCAAUUGACAAGCCCAGAUAUCGAACAAGAAAGGGUGAAGUUGCUACCAAUGUGUUGGCUGUUUGUUCUCGUGAUUUACAAUUCAUAUUUGUGUUACCGGGUUGGGAGGGAUUAGCGUCUGACUCUAGAGUUCUUCAUGAUGCAGUCACUAGGCCUAAUGGAUUAAGAGUUCCCACCGGUAAGGCUAUUGGCCAACAAUUUUGUUUAGAUUAAUUUUAGAUUGUUUCUUUGCCUUUACACACAUUGAUUGAAUUUUUAAUUUCGCUAUUAGGUUAUUAUUACCUUGUAGAUGGUGGUUACACGAAUGGUGAGGGAUUUCUUGCCCCAUAUAGGGGAACAAGGUAUCACUUAUCGGAAUGGGAUAAUGGAAAUAUGCCUAGAGAUCAUGUGGAAUACUUUAAUAUGAAGCAUUCCAAGGCAAGAAAUGUCAUAGAAAGGAGUUUUGGAUUGCUGAAAGGAAGGUGGGGAAUACUAAGGAGCCCAUCAUUUUAUCCAAUAAAAACACAAUGCCGCAUAAUUAUGGUUUGUUGUCUUUUACAUAAUUUAAUUAAGAGAGAGAUGUCCGUUGAUCCGAUGGAGAAUGUAGUAUUUCCUUUAGAACCACAAAACGUGGAAGACAUUGAUGUGGUUGGCACCGUUGAAUCGUCUGAUCAAUGGACUACUUGGAGGAAUGACUUAGAUUUACAGAUGUUUAAUGAGUGGAGGGGAAGAAGGCUUGCAAGGGAAGCAAGAGCUGCUAAGGUUGUAGAAAUUACUACAAGGCCCAGAACAGCUGCAAGGGCUGCAACUGCAAGGAAUGAAAGAUCUGCUAGGGAAUGACCGAUAAACAAGAUCUUCAAGGCCUUAGAUGGCAGUUUGAGCUGUGUUGUGCGUCUGAUUUGUUGUUGUGUACUUUGCUUAUGUCAUUUAACAAGAAUAUUUUACUUUGAAGUUAUGUACUUUGCUUAUGUCAUUUAACAAGAACAUUCUUUGCUGAUGCGUACUUCUUUUAUUGUUGUUAGUUGUUUUAGUUGUUUUAUAAUUACAAGGACAUCCAUUGUCUUCCUCAUUUUACUUUUUUUCAUGUCUAGAAGAAAAGCACAAUUGAGAAAGGGAGCACUAUUUGGUAUUUGCAAUUCUUCUUUGAGAAAGGGAUUGAUAUUACAGCUAAGGCCUUUUUGUUUUGUAUUUUGGGGGGUUUCUUUCUCUCUUUCUUCUUCUCACUUCUCUCUGCUGCCGUUGUUGACCAUGACCCUUUGUUAUGUUAAUACUUAAUAAUCAGACAAAGAGUUGAUACGAUUUGUAUUGUUUUUUUUUAUUGUUUACAUCAUUGGUUGUUGUAUUAUUGUUUGUCAAGGUGAGAGAGCUAGUUCAGGCAUUUUGGUUUUAUCUGAAGGUGCAGUUUUUAUUGUCAAGUUUGUAGCUUUUUGAACUGGAAGUGCUGCUUUUGAUUUUCUAGGAGUUGCUGCUUUUGGUUGUUUAGAAUAUAUCUGUGUGGUUUAGGAGCUUGAGGGGAUGAAAUGAAAGGUAGGAUUACCAGGAAACUACUUUGUGUUGAACAGAGGAGAUAAUGAGGUUGAAGUUGGUGAGGCAUUAGAUGAAGCAUUUAGUUGUUGGGGUGAAGGCCAUAUUCUAUAUACAGAUUGAGACAGAUUUGGACAUUUUCAGUUGUUUAUGGUGAAAUUCAAUUUUGUUUUCUCCUCUCAUAUUGUUGACUGUUGUUGAUGAGUUUCACUUGUUUAUUUGACCGUUGUUGCUCUGUUUUAUAGAAAAUGGAAGCUGGUGAUGAAAAUUCUGAACAAGGAAAGCAAAAGCGUAUAUGGAGCAGUUUUGAGGAAGAAUCUUUGUUGAAUAUACUUGAUAGUAUUGUUGCUGGUGGACAACGUUGCGAUACUGGAAGUUUCAAAUCUGGUACGUUAACAAAAAUAGAGCAUGCUUUGAAUGAUACAUGUCCUAAUUCCAAUUUGAAGGCAAGUCCACAUAUUGAGUCAAAGUUGAAGAAACUGAAAAAGGAUUAUAGCAUCAUCUAUGACAUGAUAAACAAGAGUGGAUUUGCAGGGAAUGACGUUAAAAAAUGUGUGGAAGUUGAUACUAAUGAAGUAUGGGACAGCUAUGUAAAGGUAAUGAUGUAAAUACUUUAGUUUUGUUUUGAGGUUACAAAUUCAUUUUGAGCUUCAUGAAUCUGGAUUUAAAUCUUACUAGUUUCCUUUGUCAUUCUAUGUCAUAGCACAGCAAAAAGGCAAAAGGCUGGAGAAAUAAAUCUAUCCCAUGUUUGAGAGGCUAGCUAACAUCUUUGGGAAUGACCGUGCUAACGGAAAUGCAGCUGAGGCCCCUGCUGAUAUGGUGGAGCAGCAGAGCAACAAUGAAGAUGAGGUUGAUCUUGAGAAUGACAUAAGUCCCAUGUCAGUAGAAGGCAGCCGAACCUCUCAGGUCAGUCAAAAAAAGAGGAAAAUAAAUGAUGAAGAUAGAAUCAUUCUUGCAUUGGAUAGGAUGUUUGAAGAAUCUGGAAAAAGAAUGCAAAUGGUGACUGAUGCCAUAGUGAAAGGUAAUGAAGACCGAUCUGAAUUGCUAAGGAACUCAAGAAUAUGGGACUUUCUCCUCUAGACCAAAUUGAGGUAAUGAAAAUGAUUUUGGAAAAGCCCCAAAAUAUCUCUUUGUUCAUGUCCUUAGAUGAUGAUGUGAGGAAAGUGUAUGUGGAAAAUCUGUUUGGUGGUAGUGCUAGGGGAUCUAACUAGCUGCUGACUUUAUAUGCGUUUAGAGAGAGUUGUUGCCUUAACACAUGUUUGACAAGCCACCAUUUUCUAGAUGAACUCAUUUUGUAAUUGCUAGAUUAGCAUUCAUGUUUGAUACUUUGUUAGGAUGUGGGCUGCUAAUUGGGAGUUCACUUUGAAGUUGUUGUAUUAUUUGGUGGACUUGUCGAUGUGUAAACUAUUUACUCUUAAUUUUGGUUGUGGUGGCUUACUAAUCUAUGAAGUUGAAAUUUGGAUGAAAAUUAUAUUCAGUUCUUAUAAUUUGAUCAAAGUGCAGACUGAUUCAUUUUGUUCAAGGAAUUGUGGUUUUCAGUUUUAAUUUAGUCUCGUACAUCAUCAAACAUGGGACAGGACUAUUCUGCUUAUUCUGCUCUUUAGUCCCAAGCAGUACCAAACAUGGGUUAGGGCUUAUUGUAGAAUAAGCCAAGCUUAGACAGUCCAAGACUAUUAUAAAAAAUAGUCCUGUCUAAGACAGUCCGGUGUACCAAACGACCCCUAGAAGUGUGGUUGGAGUUGCUAUCAAGAGUAAAUGGCUGAGAAUUGAAUUGUGGGUGCCAAGAGUAAAUGGCUGGGUGCCGAGACCACCUCUUUCUUUUUGUUAGCACAUCGUUGUGUUGGGAACCCGGGAGGGGUGGUGGAGGUGCCGUGAACCCGGGUGGGUGGGGUUUCCGCUUGAUCUCGUAGUGAUGGUUUUAGACUAGUGACUUAACUUUUGAGGAGGUAUUUGAAAAAAUUUGAUGUUCUCACCUCCAUGGUUUUGAAUUUUGUGUCGAUGCGACUACUCGGAGGAGAGAAGAGUUUGUGGUGAUGUUGUUCCAGGGAUGGUUUGAACGAAAAAGAGAAAAGAAGCUGGGUGUCCAUAGCAGUUUCUGGGUGUUCACAGUGGUGGUGUGUGAGCUGGUUUUCCGGCAUCGUCGAGCUGCAGGGAGGCCAGAUUUGACUCAUGGAAGGAAGACAAGUUUGAUGGUGGUGGAGGUGAGAUACUGUGGUGCCGUAAUACCCACAAGUGAAGGGGAGAGAGAAAGCCAGAUCUACUUUCUCUCUCCUUCGGUUUUCUCUAAAACCAACCCAGAAGUUAGACUUGUUUUGAGAAUCAUCUGUGAGUAAUGAAAAUGAAGAUGUGAAGAAGGUUAGCUCCUCGUGUGCGAGCAGGGAGAAGCUCGAGAAAAAAGAGAAGGUUGGCAAUCGGAAAAAGAAAAUUUUCCAAGAAGGAAAUCUGGGCAGAUUAUGGAUAUGCUCGUGGUGAGUUGUGUGAGGGUUUCGACUUGAGGUCCCCUCCUUCUAGCGCCAAUUGUUUCAGCGUGAUUUCUGAGAGGGUGAAUCACACAGAAUACGGGAAGAAUACCAUCUUCAAGACCCAUAACCUGUUAAUCAUGAGCAAUAGGCGAGUAGGACCAAUGUUUUAUCUCUCACAUAUGAUGUGUUAACAAUUAAUGGUAGGGUGGCAAUAGCCGCACCUAUAAAUUUAUUUUGCAUAUAACGCAAUAGGAAUGUCUCCUAGCUAGCUCUUUUGGCAAAGCAUAUAACUUUCCUGUAACAGAAUAAUUAUGUCCGUAAGUAGUAGUAUUUGCACUUGACAUUCAAGUCUUGGUCGAUAUUAAUAUGCGCAAUUGAAGCAAGGUUGUAAUGCUAUACCAUAAAUAUUGUUCUGGGCAUAUAUAGUGAAGCCUGGGCAUAUAUAGUGAAGCUAUGAUAGGUGGUACUAGUUUUUGAGUACGGUAUAAAAAGGGACAAGGGAAAUCGAUGUUAUCAUAUCUCUGAAGUUCACAAGAUACAAAUAUACAUUCAUAAUAUGGGGUUGCAGAACGUUUUGAUUAUCUUGAGCAUUGUCGCCUGCCUCAUCUCGACUUCUAUGGCCACACCAGGAGUUGCUACUUUCUACACCAGCUAUACUCGUGAGUAUUUAUUCACCUAAGGCUUUCUGUGUACUUCUUUCUUUGUACAAGUUACCUCAUCAACAUUCUCAAAGUUUAACCUCGAUGUUUUUGUUUUCAGCAUCAGCAUGCUACGGUGAUACCCCAGAAGGCGUGAUGAUUGCAUCAGCAGGUGACGCUAUAUGGAACAAUGGUGCAGCCUGUGGGAAAUAUUUCACCGUUAAAUGUACAGGUCCUAGGAAUCCAGUACCACAUCCUUGCACUGGUGCGACCGUUAAAGUAAAAAUUGUAGAUCAUUGUCCUGGAUGCCCAUCAACACUCGACCUUUCUAAAGAGGCUUUCACCAAAAUCGCUAACCCUGUUGCUGGAAUAAUUAAUAUUGAUUAUUGGUAGUAAGCUUCACAAUUACUUAGUUCAUUACAAAUCAUGAUGUCUUAAUUUGCAAGGUAUAUUAAUAAUCUCCCUCACCACAGUCACAUAGAUGAUACUGUAUACUUGAGUUCGUUGAGUAGUUAAUAACUAGAAAUAAUGCCCCCGCCUUGCUGGGGGGUUUUUGUUAACAUUGUUGUAUGUGAUGUCAUGUCGAUGAAAUUCAGUCCAGCAUAGCAAUAAACCAAAAGCUCACUUGUCAGAUCAAGAGAGAAGCAACAAUGCUAAGUCUCUAACGAAGGGUAUAUACAUACAAUGAUUCAAUUCUAAUGAAACAAAAUCGCAUAUUAAUAUUCUCUUUUGUUUCACUGCUAGAAGAAUCAAAUGGGCAUUUACAAUUGAUUCAACAAUAAUCAACUAAUGUGAAAUUCAAAUCAAUGUUAGGUCCCUUGGUAGAAUGUGAAGCAGGAUUAAUAAUGGAUACACACCUUUCUCUAAUGUUGCAAUAACAGAAAAUGAUCAUUGCAAAACCUUCGUGUGAAACUAAGCUCAUACAAUCAUAAGAAGAUGCUGUUUCUACCUCUUCCGUGAACACGGGACGGGAGGUCAAAUCCUUCGCUCCGGGUCCUGUAACUGCACAAGCAACAAUGCGUUAGGAGUCGGGACUAGGGUGGCCCAGUCUUUUACUCUCUGAUGCUUAAGUCAGCGUUUGAUUGCUACUUGUAUAGUACGGGAGUAUGGGAGGAGUAGUAAAACUUACCUUUUCUAGGGAUUUGUGCCUGUUUUAUAGGCUAGUAUUGGGGGUUUUGUUGUUAGUUCUCGAUGUGGGACUGUUCAGCGGUACUGUUCAGUCUCUUCCCUUUCAGGGGUGUUUAGCUGUUGCAGAGUGGUUUUGGUAUGCAUUUUGCUGCUAUGCUUCCACUCUUUGGGUAUCUAUAGAAGGCUUCCCGGUGAUGGCUUGGCCGGAAUGGCUUCCGGCGAGUGGGUAAUGACACUGCAUUCUUCGUAUGGCCAAGUGUUUUGGCUAUGUAUUAACAAGUCCCCAAGUCCCCAGUCCGAGAGAGCUCUUGGGUGGGGAGUUAUUCCCAAGUUAUGCCGAGAAUGUGUCUUACCUGGGAGCUAGAGGCAUGGUGUCGAGUCCCCAAGUCCCCACACGAGGGUCGCGAGGUGGCUACGGUUAUGUUCCGAGAACUCGGUAUGAACUUUUGUGUCAUAUCUCGCAUGUGUCAUAAAUGGCCAGUUUAUGAGGAACACGCGGUCAUUUAUAGCUAAGUUUUAAGGUCGUAACUAGUUUCGUUGGUUUUUUUUUUUUUUUUGUAACGUGCGCGUAAUUAACGCGCGUGGGUGGGACAGAGUCUUAAAUGCGCUGCCUGAUCAUGGUCGACGUGGUUACUUCCCUAACCAUUGAGAUGGGGGAGAUCUGGACGGUCAAUGUUAAUUUGAACGCCUAUAAAUAGGGUUGGAGAAAACAGAAGGAGGGAGUUUGCAUUUCGAAAACAAAGGGACUAGGGCUAAGAGAGUGUGUUGUUCUGUUUGUGAAGGGAGGGUCUUCGGCGAACUGUGGAUCGAAACUGGGGAACGUCCAAUUUCAUCCUCGAUCGAUUGGGUGUGAGCGCUCGGCUGUUUGCAACCAGCUUCACUGCCUCUACACGAAUCCAAUUUUUCAAGGUAUGAAUUGGCCAAUUCUUGUUCUGGGUUUUGCUUUUGCUUUAUUUCGAAUUGAUAGGGAAAGUUUGUGUGAAUUUCGCUUCAGUUGCGACAUUGCUAGGAGAGUCUAGAGUUGGGGAUUGAAUGGUUUGUUAUCGGGUUAGCUAGGGUUAAGGUAGCGAGAAUCUAACAUGUGAGGAUGUAGGGUAUGACAGAUUCGGUGGGGGUGUCCAGCGAGGAGAUUGUGAUUCUCUCUAGCUCGACUAAUCCUGAUUCGGACACCUUGCACCGGUGGGAGGAGGAAGUGAAUUAUCUUAUGGCGGAGGUUGCCCUUGACUUAGGGGAGGGCAUUCCCGCUACAGAUGUUGGGUCUCACGUGUCCUCGUCGGACCCUCUAUUGCAGGAGGUAGAAGAGUUUAGCAUGGCGAGAUCUCGGGAGGAUGACGAGUCUUUUUGGGAUCCGCCUGGCGAGAGUAUGACAUCAUCAGAGUUGAAGGCACUCCGGGAGAAAUGGAGCAUCCCCAAGGAGGUCUUGUUGCGGCCUCUCGGGAGGGGUGUUAAUUUCUAGGACCCCCCGGACAACUUUACUCUGGUAUACGACUACCAGCUGCGAUGCGGGUUAAUGUUCCCGCUACCUGCCUUUCUGCAGUACACCUUAGCGUGUCUGCAUGUCGCCCCGGGGCAAGUGACCCCGAACAUGUUGCGACAAAUAUUAGGAACAGGGGUGCUUUUCCGUUUGCUGGGGCAAGAGUUCCCCAACUUGAGGAGUUCAACGCCUGUUGGCAUAUGGCGUACUGAGUGAAGAAGGGCAACCGGGGUUGCAUGACUUUGAAGUCCCGGGGGAAGUUCAAGAUCUUAGUAGAAGACUUGCCUACCUCUACGAACGAGGGUUGGCGACAGAAGUGCUUCCUUGUCGGGGGGCAGUGGCAGGAGUGGCAUGGACACCUUUUUUGAGUACCCGGGGCGUUCCAAAAAAUAGGUACCAUGUUUUGUGUCUCGUUUUUUCUUUCUGUUUGUACUGUUCUACCCCCUGCUGACUUUGUGUAGUGCCCCAAGAAUAUAAAUUAACCGAGCUAAUGGGCCGGCUAUGAGGGCCUCGUAUUCAGCUAUGUUGUUGGAUGCUUUGAAUUCAAACUGGAGAGCAUAUUCAUAAGAAUGGCCUUCUGGGUCUGUGAUUAUUAUCCCUGCUCCACUACGCCUGUUGUUGGAGGAUCCAUCAACGUGGAGUUCCCAAAUUUCGUUCCGGGGGAGGACGUCCUGGUUUGGGUCACCUGGGUUCAUGGGGAUGAAUUCAGCAAUGAAAUCCGUAGCAGCUUGUCCUUUUAUGGCUGUUCUGGGUUUGAAAUGUAGGUCAAAUUCUCUCAAUUCUAUUGCCCAUUUUACCAUGCGUCCUGAAGUUUCAGGGUUUUGGAGUAUUUGCCUCAGAGGGUGGUUGGUGAGGACAUGGAUAGUAUGUGCCUGGAAGUAUUGUCUGAGUUUUCUGGCUGCGGUGAUGAGGGAUAAAGCUAAUUUCUUGAUGUCAGGGUAGCGGGUUUCGGGGUUUGUGAACCCUCUACCUCAGUAGUAUACUGGGAACUCAUUGUCAUGAUCAAGACGUGUGAGAGCAGCGCUGAUGGCUGUGGCUGAAACAGCCAAAUAUAGGUAAAGUACUUCUCCCGGGACAGGUUUGGAGAGAAGAGGGACCACCGCAAGGUAGGCUUUGAUAUUAUUGAAGGCAUCAUCAUGUUCCGGGCCCCAUGCCACAUUCUCCUUGUACUGAGUUUUUAGCAGUUGAAAGAAUGGGUUGCAUUUGACUGUGAGGUGGGAGAUGUGCCAUGGCCUCCGCAAUGCCGUAGAACACUUGAUUCGUAAUGGCCAACUCCAUCAUUACUGCACUCCCGCCACAAGAGCCAAUGCCAUUGAAGUUCAUGGUCAGAUCUUAACCAUACAUGGCGGCGCCCCGCGACUCCCUCCUCGUCAGCCUUCGGCAAAAAGGCAAUGCACGAGCCACUUUGAAAUUCUUGAACUGCAAAGAGGUGUCACCACCACCCCAUCGACAUGGGACCAGGUGGCAUUUUCCAAAAAGGAAGAUACGAUCAGUUGCCAUCACAAUGAACCCUUCAUAAUCAAUGUCCAAGUGGAUCACUACAGGUGUCAUAGGGCCCUCGUGGACACAGGUGCCGCGGUCAAUGUCAUGUUUGCCGAUUGUUAUAGAGGACUCCGGCGUGACCGAGCUAAGUUAUAUAACAACCAUGAUCCCCUCGUCAGCUUCUCCGGUGAGAUUGUGCAGCCCUUGGGCUCAGACCGCCUGACAGUGUUCGUAGGGGCCAACCCCUACCGUACUUCCAUCACAGCACGCUUUCUCAUAGUUGAUUGCCCCUCCUCCUACAACCUCAUCUUGGGUCGCGACAUCCUCUAGGGACUACAAUAUUUCAUUGCAGGUCACAUGCUACUCAUGAAAGUGCCCAAUCCAAGGGGAUAGGGCAGCCAUUGAACAUUGCCAUCUUAAUGCCAUCCAACAGGGACGUGGGGCCUAUGAGAUGUUGCCACUUAGCCCUGCGGAACCCAUUGAUGACCCCAAGGACGACCCUGAAGGAAAGGACAAGAAGCAAGCCCCAAGACCUAACCAGGCAGAAGACACAGAAUGGGUAUCCCUGUCGCUCAGUGCUCCCGAGAGGAAGGUCCGCAUCGGCACGAGCCUUAGCCUGGAACUCCGCCACAAGCUCAUUGCAUUCCUCUAAGAUAAGCAAACAGUUUUUGCCUGAUCCUAUGCUGACAUGCCAGGCAUCUCCGCUGAUGUCAUCACACACAAACUUAAUAUUCUUAAAGACCAUCCCCAUGUCAAGCAAAAACGGUGUGCCUUUAACCCGGAGAAGUAUCGCGCCAUCCAGGCCGAGGUCCAGCGGUUAAAAGAAAUCAAGUUCAUACGUGAGGUCUCGUACCUGACAUGGGUUUCCAAUGUGGUCAUGGUAUUGAAAUCACUCCACAGCGGAGUCUGUGAAAACCAUGCGGGGGCUCGGAACCUCAUGUUCAAAGCGUUAAGAGCUGGAUACUAUUGGCCAACAUUAGAGCAAGAUGCAAAGGCAGUUGUCCAAUCAUGCCUUCACUGCCACAAAUUUGCAGAUUUUGCCCGCCGUCCCCCAGUUCCACUAUCUGUUAUCAUUUCCCUAGUCCCUUUCAGCCAAUGGGGACUCGACUUCCUAGGCCGGCUACCCACAGCCUCGGGACAACUCAAAUUUGCUAUCGUCCUGGUGGACUAUAACACCAAAUGGAUAGAAGCAGAGCCCCUUGCUACAAUCACAACCGAAAAAGUGAUCAACUUCUUAUGGCGUAAUUUAUACUGCCGGUUUGGGGUACCACAAGCCAUCAUCACAGAUAAUGGGACGCAGUUUGACAAUGACACAUUCAGAGAAUUCCUCUUCGAGCAAGGCACAACAAUCUUCUAUGCCUCCCCAGCACACCCCCAAACCAAUGGCUAAGUGGAAGCUAUAAACAAGCUCAUCAAGCAAAACCUGAAGAAACGCCUGGAAGAUGCUAAAGGGUUAUGGGCAGCCAAGCUCCCGAAAGUCCUUUGGACACUUCGAACCACCCCAACAGCAGCCACAGGGGAAUACCCAUACCUCUUGUCCUGUGGCACCGAGGCAGUGAUCCCUGUAGAGAUGGAGGUCUCGAGUGAACGUGUCACAACAUAUGACCCCAGAGAAACGCUUUGGGACUGCGUCUCAACAUGGACCUUCUCGAGGAGCACCGAGACAAAGCAUAUCUUAGGAAUGUCAACAACAAACAAAAAAUUGCCAAGCAUUACAACAAAAAAGUUACCCCCCGCCAUCUAAAAGUAGGGGAUUGGGUCAUGAAAGAGGUUAUCCCCCACCCUACAGGGCUCAAGGCAAAAUGCGAAGGCCCAUUGGAGAUAGUCAACGCCUCAGGACCAGCUACCUUUUACCUUUGUGACACCGAUGGCCGAGUCCUACCGCGCCCCUGGAAUGCUCGCCACCUCCACCUCUACCCUGUUUAGCUUCUCAACACUCCGGCGUCAACAUGGCAAUUAGUACUUCAUUGUGUACUUUAGCCUGGUAGCGGUUCAUUUCAAAUGUACACCUUGCCCAUUAGCGGCCUAUAUGAAGUAACUAUUUUCUCAAUCUUUUUCAACAUUCCAACAAAUGAACACAGUACAAAACAACCACACAUGCACAAGAAGCAAACGUAUUCCUUAACAUAAAUAACCUGGACUCCCAGACAAUUCAUAAAUGGAAAAAUUGUUCAACAUGGCUAACCACGCCACCAAAAAACGUUGUUCCCAGGACAAGCAAGCAGUUAAACUAAAAGAAAAACAAACCAACUACAACAAGUACACCAUCCAAACUAUUUCUCCCCAGAAGAGGCCCCACUUGACUUAUUCACACUUCCGCCACUCUUCGACCCACUACCCCGCCCGCGACCUUGGCCGAUGUUUACCGACACCCUCUGCCCAUAACCAUGCUUAGAGCGGUCGCGUGCCACAGCUGGCGGCCUCACUGACACAUUUGGACGCACCAGCGAGCUCACCUGUUGCACUUCCGGGACAGGGGACUUGGACACGGAAGCCAUUAGCACUUCAACCCGUGGAGACGCCGCAAGACCAGCAACUCGCGGGUUAGGCUGCUCAACAGCAGAAGACGCAACCUGUAAUAUCUCACAUCGGCCAAACGGAGAGGGUUUAUGUGCUGUAUAUGUACAUGCCUACCUCAAAUCUAAUACGCCUUUUGGUGGCUCAGCGGCUUCGGAGGGGUUGGGUACUCCGAGGUUAAGCAUGUUGAUGCUAAAGCAAUCCCAGGAUGGGUGACCUACUGGGAAGCUGCUCCUGAGCUGCUGGAAAUAAAACCGUGAGGGCCGGUGGGCCCAAAGCGGACAAUAUCGUGUUACGGCGGAAUGGGUCCUGGGAUGUGACAAAUGGUAUCAGAGCCACUCUGCCGUGCGGUGCGAGUGUGCCGACGAGGGCGUCGGACUCCCAAGGGGGGUGGAUUGUAAUAUCCCACAUCGGCCAAACGGAGAGGGGUUAUUGCUGUAUAUGUACAUGCCCACCUCCAAUCUAAUACGAGGCCUUUUGGUGGCUCAGCGGCUUCGGAGGGGUUGGGUACUCCGAGGUUAAGCAUGUUGAUGCUAGAGCAAUCCCAAGAUGGGUGACCUACUGGGAAGCUGCUCCUGAGCUGCUGGAAACAAAACCGUGAGGGCCGGUGGGCCCAAAGCGGACAAUAUCGUGUUACGGCGGAAUGUGUCCUGGGAUGUGACACAACCUGAGAAACGGCCACCUGGGUCGAAGGGGAUCCCUCGGGACGUGGAACCCUUGGAGAAGCAGCAGCCAUGGUAAGCGGUCGAGGCACACCCGCAAUAGAAACUUCCUUCGGCACAACAGAGGAAGUAGCACGCCAAGUUUCAUGCUGUUUCGCUAGGGUCCGCGAGAUCUCGGCUUGCUUCCUUUUCUCUGGAGUCAUCUGUUCCCAAGCCUUCCUCGCAACAUCCCUCUCGGCGUAAAACUUACGCAUUGCCGCCUCGUUAAUCCAGCCAGCCGCGCACCCGGUUUUACUCAGCUCAUCCUGACCCCGGUUAUAGACACUCUUCAGCUGUUGCUUGUAGAGGUCGCUCUCGCGGAACACCCUCUCCCCAGCCCCGGCUGCCCUGGCACACUUCAUCUUCCAAGCCCUUUCCUGUUCUGCCAAAGCAUGAUUCAAUUUCGCCACCUCAGCCUCCAGGGAAGGAAUCUUGGCGGCAGCCAAUUCUCCAGCUUCCACCUGCUUGUCUUUCUCCUCCAUGGCUUUCUUCAGCACAGCCACCUCUUGCCCAGCAGUUGCGGCUUGGUCACGGAACACAACAGCGUCCUGCUCUACUUGCUCCAAAAGUCGUGUGAGGGCGCGGUUAUUCUCUUCUUCCUCCUUCAGUUGCUGACAUUUGGUCUCAGCAUCUUCCUACAGAUGAGUCACAGCCCUCUCGCUUGCCGCUUACAUAAGAAGGGUAGCCUAUAGGCAAGACAACAACAUAAAAAACAAAAAGAAAAAAAAGAAAAAAAAAGAAAAAAAAAAAGCAACAAACGGAGAAAAGCACAACUGCACCCCCUGAACGCCUACCCGGGUCAACUUCUCCUUAGCAAGAGCAAUGCCAGCUAAGGGCUCAACCUCCUCCAGGGAAUUCAUGUCGUGGGAGCGGUGCCGCAUCUCAUACGCCAUUUGCGCUAAGUAUGGUUGCGCAUCCCCGGUCCCCUCCAGUGCAUGGGUGAUCUCAGCCAAACUCCCGGAACUUCCAGAACGCCCUUCUUUCCGGGACCUUUUUCUUUGGCCAUCACGCGAACACUCGACCCUCUCCUUCCUCUUCCGAGUCUUGGUCACGAUGACCUCCUCUGAUUCCUGCCCAAGGGGAUCCACCUCCUCUGUCACGAGAUCCUCGCCACCAGUCUGGCCUUCCCCUACAUCUCCCAGCGACACACCCUCCAUCCCAACUGGCUCCGGGACAUGCUCUUCCCCCACCGGAACCUGUUCUUCCUCCCCCCCUCGAUCACCACCCCCGACUUCUACGCCCUCGUCGCUCACCUUUGGUCGCCUAAGCCCAUUACUUCCGCCACCAAGGGAGGCAUGUAAGCAUAGUCGUCAUCCACCAAAUUCAACCUCACAAAAUCAUCCUCACCCUCGCCAAACUCCACCUCCUUCCCUUCCCCAGUCUCCAGGUCGACAUCAAACCGCUUGGCGUGCGCAUCCUCUGCCAGCAACCCAUCCAGAACAUCCUGGUCAGAGACCUUGUCAUAAGGCCCUUCCUUCUUUCGCGACCCAGCAUCCCGAGUCAUCGUCACUGCAUCAAACAAAAUAAAGAUCACAACACAGGCAAAAAAUGCAAAUCUAUACAAACAGCUCAAAAAGCAAAAUACAGACCCGGAAGUAACUGAAAUAACUGUACACGCCAAGGCGGCAUAUCCGGUAUGAAGUCCUACACUCGAAUGCCCACAGCACCCGGCGUAUCCGACGCUCCAUUAGCUCGGUUAAUCUAUAUUCUUGGGGCACUACACAAAGUGAGCAGUCAGCAAGGGCAGAACAGUACAAACAAAAAGAAAACAUGAGACACAAAAACAUGAUACCUAUUUUUUGGAACGCCCCGGGUACUCGGAACGGGUGUCCAUGCCACUCCUGCCACUGCCCCCCGACAAGGAAACACUUCCGUCGCCAACCCUCGCUCGUAGUAGGCAAUUCCUCUACUAGGAUCUUGAACUUCCCCCGAGACUUCAACGUCAUGCAACCCUGGCUGCCCUUCUUCGCACAGUACGCCAUAUGUCAACAGGCGUUGAACUCCUCACAGUUGGAGAACUCUUGCCCCAGCAAACGAAAAAGCACCCCUGUUCCUAAUAUUUGUCGCAACAUGUUUGGGGUAACUUGCCCCGGGGCGACAUGCAGACACGCCAAGGUGUACUGCAGAAAGACAGGUAACGGGAACAUCAACCCGCAUUUCAACUGGUACUCGUAUACCAGGGUAAAGUUGUCUAGGGGGUCCCAGAAAUUAACACCCCUCCCUAGAGGCCGUAACAAGACCUCCUCGGGGAUACUCCAAUUCUCCCUGAGCGCCUUCAAUUCUGACGACAUCAUACUCUCGCCAAGAGGAUCCCAGAACGAGUCAUCGUCUUCCCGAGACCUCGUCAUGCUAAACUCUUCUACCUCCUGCAAGAGAGGGUCAGACGAGGAUACAUGAGACCCUGCAUCCGUAACAGGAAUGCCUUCCCCUAAGUCAAGCGCAACCUCCGCCAUAAGGUAAUCUACUUUCUACUCCAACCGGUGCAAGGUGUCGAAAUCAGGAUCAGUCAAGCUAGAGACAACCACAAUCUCCUCGCUGGACACCCACACCGGAUCUGUCAUACCCUACAUCCUCACAUGUCAGACUCUCGCUACCUUAACACUAGCUAACCCGAUAGCAAGCCACUCAAUCCUCUAAUCUAGCUUAGCACAGUAACCACUGAAGCAAAACCCACACACACUGUCCCUAUUGACUCAAAAUAAAACAAAAACAGAACCCAGAACGGGAAUUGACAAGUUCAUACUUGGGAAAAUUGGAUCUGUGUAGUGGCAAUGAAGCUGGUUGCAACCAGCCGAGAGCUCACACCCAAUCGAUCGAGGAUGAAAUUGGACGUUCCCCAGGUUCGAUUCACAGUUCGUCACAGCCCCUCUUCACAUAUCGAGCAACCCACUAUUCAGCCCUAAUUCCUCUGUUUUCGAAAUGCAAACUCCCUCCUUCUGUUUCCCAGGACUAUUUAUAGAGCAUUUAAGGGGACCUUAACCGUCCAAAUCCUCUCCCUCUCAACGGUCAGGGCAUAGCCACGUCAACCACGAUCAGAGGGCACAUUAAAGACGCGCCCCACGAUCCCACGCACGCGCGUUAAUUACGUGCACGUUACAAAAAAAAAAAACACAACACACAAACCAACGAAACCGUUACGACCUUAAAACUCCCCAUAAAUGACCGCGUGUCCCUCAUAAACUGGCCAUUUAUGACACACACGGGAUAUGACGCAGAGGUUCGUACCGAGUUCUCGGAACGUAACCCCAGCCACCUAGCGACCCUCGCGUGGCGACUUGGGGACUCGGGACCAUGCCCCCAGCUCCCGGGUAAGACAAUCUCGGAAUGUAACCCCCGCCACCUCGCGACCCUCGCGUGGCGACUUGGGGACUCGGUACCAUGCCCCCAGCUCCAGGGUAAGACAAUCUCGAAACGUAACCCCAGCCACCUCGCGACCCUCGCGUGGGGAUUUGGGGACUCGGCACCAUGCCUCCAACUCCCGGGUAAGACACAUUCUCGGCAUAACUUGGGAAUAAUUCCCCAUCCAAGAGCUCUCUCGGACUGGGGACUUAGGGACUUGUUAAUACAUAGCUAAAACACUUGGCCACGCCGAGAAUGCAAUGUCAUUACCCACUCGCCGGAAACCAUUCCGGCCAAGCCAUCAUCGGCAAGCCUGCCACGGUCGCCCAAAGAGUGGGAGCAUAGCAGCAACAUGCAUGCCAAGCCUACUCUACAAUAGCUAAACCCCCCUGAAAGGGAAGAGACUAAACAGUACCACAGAACAGUCCCACAUCGGAGACUAAUCACAAAACCCCCAACACAAGCCUAUAAAACAGGCACGAACUCCCAGAAAAGGUAAGUUCCACUAUUCCUCCCAUACUCCUGUACUAUACAAGUAGCAAUCGAAUGCUGACUUAAGCAUUGGAGAGUCGAAGACUGGGCCACCCCAGUCCCGACUCUUGACGUGUUGCUGCUUGUGCAGUUACAGGAUUCGGAACCAAGGAUUAGACCUCUCUUCCCGUGUUCUCGGAAGAGGUAGAAACACCUAGGUUGGCAAUGUGGUCGUCAGCUGCCUUGCUUUUGACCAGCAUGUCAUCCAUGUAGACUUCCAUGACCUCCCCAAUUUCUUCUUCAAACAUGGCAUUGACCAACCUCUAAUAAGUUGCUCCUGCAUUCUUGAGGCCAAAGGGCAUGACCUCGUAACAAUACAGUCCUUUGUCUGUGACAAAAGUGGUGUGCUCUUGAUCUGUGGGGUGCAUUUUGAUUUGGUUAUAUCCCGAGUAGGCAUCCAGAAAGCUGAGCAUUUUGAAACCGGCUGUGGAAUCAACCAGCUGGUCAAUUCGUGGCAAAGGGAAGCUGUCCAUAGGGUAGGCUUUGUUGAGGUUAGUGUAGUCAACACACAUUCGCAACUUGCCAUUAGGCUUGGGGACCAUGACCACAUUGGAAACCCAUGUCAGGUACGAGACCUCACGUAUGAACUUGAUUUCUUUUAACCGCUGGACCUCGGCCUGGAUGGCGCGAUACUUCUCCGGGUUAAAGGCACACCGUUUUUGCUUGACAUGGGGAUGGUCUUUAAGAAUAUUAAGUUUGUGUGUGAUGACAUCAGGGGAGAUGCCUGGCAUGUCAGCAUAGGACCAUGCCAAGACUGUUUGCUUAUCUUGGAGGAAGGCAAUGAGCUUGUGGCGGAGUUCCGGGUUAAGGCUCGUGCCAAUGCGGACCUUCCUCUCGGGAGCACUGGGCGACAGGGAUACCCAUUCUGUGUCCUCUGCUGGGUUAGGUCUCGGGGCUUGCUUCUUGUCUUUCCCUUCAGGGUCAUCCCUAAGGUCAUCAAUGGGUUUCGAGGGGCUAAGUGGCAACAUCUCAUAGGCACCACGUCCCUGUUGGAUGGCAUUAAGAUGACAAUGGUCAAUGGCGGCUCUAUCCCCUUGGAUUGUGAGUAUGCCUCCUGGAGUGGGCACUUUCAUAAGUAGCAUGUGACCUGCAAUGAAACAUUGUUGCCCCCAGAAUAAGGUUGUAGGAUGAGGAGUAAUCAACUAUGAGAAAACGUGUUGUGAUGGAAGCACGGCAGGGGCUGGUCCCUACUGACACUGUCAAGCAGUCUGAGCCUAAGGGUUGCACAAUCUCUCCCGAGAAGCUGACGAGGGGAUCACGAUUGUUAUAUAACUUAGCUCGGUCACGCCGGAGUCCUCUAUAACAAUCAGCAAACAUCACAAUGACCGCAGCUCCUGUGUCCACGAGGGCCCUAUGACACCUGUAGUGAUCCACUUGGACAUUGAUUAUGAAGGGUUCAUUGUGAUGGCAACUGAUCGUAUCUUCCCUCUUGUAAAAUGACACCUGGUCCCAUGUUGAUGGGGUGGUGGUGACACCUCUUUGCAGUUCAAGAAUCUCCAAGUGGCUCGUGCAUUGCCAUUUUGCCGAAGGCUGACAAGGAGGGAGUCACGAGGCGCCACCAUGUAUGGUUAAGAUCUGACCAUGAACCUCAAUGGUGUUGGCUCCCGUGGCGGGAGUGCAGUACUAAUGGAGUUGGCCAUUACGAAUCAAGUGCUCUAUGGCAUUGCGGAGGCCAUGGCACAUCUCAGUGGCGUGGCUGUUGUCAUCAUGAUAAGCACAAUAUUUGUUCCCUGUUGUGUGCCGGGGAUUUUUGAGAUAUUUGCUCUUAGGUGGCGGGGGAAUGAGAUCUUUGUGCCUAGCCCAUAUAUCCUCAUAUGUAGUGGUUAGGGUUGUAUGGACCUCGUAACGAGGUGGUGGGAAGCGACGUUGCUACUGUUGGGGGCUCUGCUAUCGGGACCGAUAAGGAUGGUCCCGUCCCCGCUGUCCAUUGUGGCGACGGUAUGAACUGCGCCCCUGGUUGUUGUCACGGGAGCUGCUAUGCUGCUUGCUUUUGUCUUGCCCUCGGUCAUAAUGGUCAUACUUUUGCUGGGAUUGCUGCUUAGGGGGUGGGGCUAGGAGUGCUAAUGUGGUAGUUGGGUUAGAAUGUCCAAAGGUGGCACACUCGGCGCGUGCCCAACAGACAGCAAGGUCCAUCAAGGCAUCGUAUGACCCUGGAGGGGUUCCUGUUAAUCUCCAUUAGGAAGCUGCCGGGAAGCAAAGCUUGGCGAAAAGCUUGCUCAACGACUCGGGGUUCCAAGUUGUGACAGCGUGCCGUGGCUGAUUGCCACCGAGACAGUAACUCAUGGAGUCCUUCACCCUCUUUUUGCUUGAUGUGGAACAAGGCAUCCACACUGCGGUAGAUGCUGGCAUGGAGUAUGAAGCGGUUGAGGAAGCGUUCCGAGAGCUGGUCGAAAUUGUCAAUGGAGUUGGGAGGCAAGUUAAGGAACCAACUAAGCGCUUCAUCGGAGAGGGUCUCUUGGAAAGCAUGACAGGCCAUAGCAUCUGUGUACUGAGUGGAACUGCAUAACGAGAGGAAUGUUUCAAGGUGAAGAUGAGGGUCUCCGACGCCCUUAUACUUGUCCACUUUGAAAGGCUUGGCCUGGGGUGGCCUCUUUUCCAUUUGCACCCGUGGCGUAAAGGGGCUUGAGCGGUGGCCAUAUCCCGAGAAUAGAGGUCGUUGGCUCCCGCGACUCUCAACACCUUCAAUUCGAGAGGCCAAUUGAGUGACAGAAUUGCUGAGCUGGAGGAGAAGUCGAGUUUGCAUGUCGAGAGGCGGGGUAGCAGUGUUAGCAAAGUUGAGAUUAGGGAGGGGUGGAUCAGAUGGCUCAGGCUGGUUUAGCAGGGGAAUGGAUUCGUUACUGAUUGUGGAUGGUUGUGGGGCUGGGAGUGGAAAGGAUGGGUGGGUGAGCGGAUGAGUGACAUAGAUAAUCUGGUUGGGGCCUCCCGGGAUCACGGAACUACUUUGUCCUUGAUUAGGAAAAAGAGAUGUCAAGGUGGCGUCUAGGGUGGGAGUGACCCUUGCUGCCCGAUCUAGACUUUCAUUAUAGUUGUUCCGGUGAUCUAAAGUGGCGUAGAGUAGGAAUUGUUCCUUUUCGAGCUCAGCGAUACAAACCCGAUACGCUCCAGCUUCCGCUUUUUCCUUAGCUGCUUGCUCUCGGAACGCAUGGAAGUUUUUUUUCAAAAUUUCAAGGCCGUGGUGGCAUCGGGGUGGUUAAUGGGGUCGCGGUAGCAGUAGUUUGGUUAUGGGAUGUGUCUCCAGAUUGGAAAAUUUCUUUUUCUAUCUGCGUCCCGGGUUCGUUUGGGUCAUCCGUAAUUUCUACCAUCCUGUUAAAAAGUUAAAUGGGAGUUCCACAAGAGAGGGCCCUCCUUCAAGCGCCAAUUGUUUCUACCUCUUCCGUGAACACGGGACGAAAGGUCGAAUCCUUCGCUCCGGGUCUUGUAACUGCAUAAGCAACAAUGCGUCAGGAGUCGGGACUGAGGCGGACCAGACUUUGACUCUCCGAUGCUUAAGUCAGCGUUUGAUUGCUACUUGUAUAGUACGGGAGUAUGGGAGGAGUAGUAGAACUUACCUUUUCUGGGGAUUUGUGCCUGUUUUAUAGGCUGGUAUUGGGGGUUUUGUCGUUAGUUCCUGAUGUGGGACUGUUCAGCGAUAUUGUUCAGUCUAUUCCCUUUCAGGGGUGUUUAGCCGUUGCAGAGUGGUUUUGGCAUGCAUGUUGCUGCUAUGCUUUCACUCUUUGGUUAUCUAUAGAAGGCUUGCCGGUGAUGGCUUGGCCGGAAUGGCUUCCGGCGAGUGGGUAUUGACACUGCGUUCUCGGCAUGGCCAAGUGUUUUGGUUAUGUAUUAACAGAUGCAAUAAGAAGAAACUUCUAAUUGUGAAAUUUUGUUGAAAGAAUUAAUUAGCAGAUCAAAUUUAUGAAAUAUACACGUGUGUUUUUCCCUGUUAAUGACUGAAGUAGCAAAAAUGCCAUAGUUUCUACAUUAUCAACACCAUCAUUUUGUUUCACUAUAAAAUCUUGCUAAUUGGAUGUAACCUAGUCUAAUAUAGCUAUCUUUGCAUUCCCUGUGUGAUGAGUGUUAAUGAGAUUGAAGCUUACAAUUAGGAAAUUUUAAUCAACCUUCAGAAUGUGACCAAUUAGGAUUUUGUAUACUUUCUUAUGUGGUUUCUUAUGUUUUCUGUAAUGCCCCGUACCCAAUUUUACCUAUUUACUGGGUCUACAAGUUACUGAGGAAUUUAACCGUGCUCGGUAACUUAGAAACUUAGCGUUUAAGUUUAUUUUUGAGUUUUUCUUGAAACAUCAAAUUCCUCUGCUAAGGUCUUGAUGUCGUAGUACUCGUCGACGCAAGUUCAUCGAUGUCUUCAGAUUAUUUUUGGAGCAUUGAGCUAUUUUCUAUGAUUUAUCGAAAAUGGGUAAAAGAAAUUAAUUUUCUGAAUUAGGAUAUAACAUUUAAUCUGGGCCGUCUGAUCAAGUAGGGUUUUGAUCUUAGCCAUUGGUUUGGGUAUAUAAGGAAAUGUGAUGGGUUGACUUCAGGAAAAAGCCCACGCUCGGUUUGACCCAAGCCCAGACUUCCCCCACCGUCUCCGGCGCGUCGUCACCGAUUCUGACCACCUCAGGUGGCAAGACCACACCAAAAUGAUCCUCUCUUCCCCUUCUACAAAACCUAAUUCUCUAUUCGCACAUCCACCCAUUCAAGAGAGAGAUCGAUGCCGAGGAAGUGCGGUGGUGUUUGCCGAUUUCCGGCGAGCUUGGGCAGCGAUGGCGAUUCCAGUGAGUACGGUUUCUUCUCUUUCUUCCUUCUUCUUCAAUUCCAUGUCCUUGAUCCUUAUAAUCAAGCCCUACUUCGAAAACCCCUUUUCUGAAAUUAUAUGGGUUUUGUUGAGGUUUUCGGCGAUGUGUGUUCUUGAGGUUCCUGACGUCUUCUUCAAGCUUCGGCAAGCCUAGCAGCGGUGAUUAGAACCCAUACGUGUUUUGAGGAGGAUUUGAAAAUAGAUACAACUGCCUGAGAAGCUUUGGGGCAGAUUAAAGGUGAGUUUUGCAUUUUGGCUAUUGGAUUGCUACUUUUGGUGACAAAUAGUUGUUGAUUAAUGAUUAUUUAGCUUGUAUGUCGAUUUUGGAGUUGAGGCUGCACAGUGGGGAUCUGACAGAGGGUUGAUUGGUCGUUUUCUGUAAGGAGGAGAAGCCCUAGUGCUCGAUUUGCUCAAACAUAAGGUAAUCUCGAUUCCACUUGGUGUGUGAUGCUACUGUAUUUCUGUGUUGUUGGCUAUCGAGUGAUUAAUUGGUGUUUUGGAGUUUGGUGACUGAUUUUGUCAGGACCCACCCUGAAUUUCACCUUGAAACCCAAAGUAAAUCCUACGGGGUCCACCUCCAAAGAAAAUUUACCGAAAAUUCGGCAUAAUCUACCUUGAAAAUGGACAACCCUUACCUGAAAAAAUUCCAGAUAAACACUUCUAUUAUAAAUCAUCCAUCCUCAACUCCUAGAGCCAUUCUGCUCCCCAAGUUCAUCACAUCUCCCAAAAUAUCAAUUACUCCUCUAAAAGAAUUCCCCAACUAACAACAAAGACAUUCAAUAAUUUACUCACUGGGUUAUUAGAGCAUAUCUAUAAUGAAAGAAAAACAAUGAAUAAAGAUUAAGUGGAAGCAGCCUCUGACUAUGCGCUCGACUUCAUGUACGCUCGACUUCAUGUACGCUCGACCUCAAUUAAACUUAGCCUGCAAACUGGGCAUUUAAAACUAAAGGGCCCAAGGGAAAGUAAUUUGAAAAAGUUAGAGUGAGUGGACAAAAAUAAAUUAAAUAAUUUAACAAAUACAUAAUUUAUAUAUUUUCCCACGUUUCAACUUUUAAAACUUAAUUGCACGCAAUUUUGAUAAUCCAAAUAACUUUAAAUCCAAAAUUCCAUAAAAAUAGACAAACCAGCCCCGCUGGUUAAUUAAAUACAAAAAUCUCGAAAACAGAGACAAACCAGCCCUGCUGGUUAAUCAAUUACAUAACUGAGAAAAAUAAAACGAGGGGAAGAGAUAUCACCAUGUAAAAGGAGCCUCCAAGACUCGGGUCGGUGCCUCCCAGGCUAUAGUAGCGUCCCACACUAAGCGCUCGACUCACCUAUGAUGAUGACCGCUAAUAAGGGUAGCUAGCAAUAAAUAAUAAUAUCAGAUCGGUGCCUCCUAGGCUAUAAUAGCGUCCCACGUUAAGCGCUCGACUCACCUAUGGUGAAGACGGCUAAUAAAGCUAGCUAGUAAUGAAUAAAAGCGACCCUAUAACAUGGUGAUUAAAAAUAUACGAAAUCACUUAAAUCCAUAAAACUUCUCCAAGAUCAUGCGAAUGGUACGGUUUCCAACCGUACUUGGAAAUUAUCAUAAGAAAUUUUAAAAUAAACUCGAUGACGUGUAAUAUUAUCAAAUCCAUAAUUAUAAGCGAGAUUUAAUUAACAAGUAUAAAUUGUAAAUAAUUUCUCAAUCCGAAAAUUCUCGCUAAAAAUACUCUCAAUGCCAAGAUCGAUAAUCCACAAAUAAACGACAAAGUUAUAAAAGGAGAAUUACGGAAAAUCCCAUUUUCAGAAAUCUUUUAUAAAUCUCAAAGUCCACCAUUUAAACAAUCAUAGUGAAAUCUGGAAUUCGUAAGGAAUUUCCAAACUCAAAUGCCAAAUUAAUAAUCCGAGCUCAAAUCCAUAAAUCAUAACUAACAAUUAAACAAUGUAUCCAACUCAAAUAUUGUCACAUUCCGACCCUUAAAUUUUUACCUCAUUUACUAGCUUGGUUUUAAUAAGAAUUUUACCUUCUUCGUCGUGAGUUUUUAGUUUAAAUGGUCCCUAGAGGAGUUUUGAGGUACGUUUAUUUCGGAGGAUUAUUCGUAGGAGAAAAAUGUGACGACGAUAAAAAUGGGAAAUUUUAGCUAGCAAAAGGUAAUUUUUAUUAGGGUAUUAUUUUCGGGUGUUUUAUUUUUGGAGUUGGGUUUGUUGUAGAGUGGGUUUUAAGUUGGACCGGGUGUGGGAGAAGCCCAACACCCACACACUCACUCUCUCUCUCUCUCUCUCUUCUCUCCCGCUCCCCGAGCCCCUCCCCUUGCCAGAAUUUCCGGCCAUCAGCCCGCCGUCGUCCGCCUGCCUUAGACCGCCGCUCUGGUCCUGAUCGGUCGGCCCUCGACCUAGCUUCCUUUCUAGACCGGUGAGAGCUUCCCUAGCACCGCCGUGAGGGAGAUUCUCCGCCUGGAACCUCCGACUGUCCAAAGCUCUCUGUCGCCGGAACUUCCUCCUCCGGCCACCAAUCCGGGCAAGCCUUAUAUGGUUUUGAAGGUCUCCAACCUAGUUGCCUUGCCCUAGAAGGUCUAGUUUGCUUCAGGUGAGAAGAACCGGUGAGAGUGGAAGUUCUAGGGUUUUUUGUUAUGUUUUCGUUCGAUUGGCAUAGUUAGGCUUGAAAUUGGUGUUUGUGCUAGUUAGAAAAGUUGUAGAGGGUGUUGAGAGGAAGAUGAUGUAAAAAUUUGGUAGGCAUUGGAGGUCGCCUGAGUCGGCCUCCGGCCGCCGCUGUUUAGGGGUUUUUCAUGGCUUUAAAUUGGUUAUAUUAAGGGGAGUUAUUGAUGUGAAUUUUGAAAUUUUUGGAGGAGUUUUAGAUAGGUUUGGGAAUUUUUAAAGUUUGGUAAUUUUGGCAGAUUAUUAGGGUAGAAUCCGACUAUUUGAUUAAUGUUGUUUAAUUUGUAGAAGGGUGUAUUUAAGGCUGCUGGUUUUGGUGUUGAAGUGUGGACCGAAUCGAAUUAGGAAUAUUGAAGUUAGGCAAUGAUGAGCGUGGUCAAGGCUCACAUUUAAUUUUGCGUAUUUUUGUAUAAUUAUUGAAAUUUGAGUUGAGAAUUUAUUAUUAUAUUUGGAACAGGACGUGAGGAGGUUCGAGCGGAAGAGGCCUCGGAUCGACAUCAGGCUUAGGCCUAAUUUGUGAGUGGACUUUUGUUUUAAAUAAUAUGCAUGCUAUGGUUCAUGGAUGAACAAUAAAUUUGGUUGGAGCAUUUGACCUCAUUUUAACUGUGACGAUUUUAUUUCUCUUGGAGAGUUACCGAAAAUGGGAUUUUCGGUGAAUAUAAAUAUGUAUUUAUGAGGAGAGUAUGUAUAUAAAUGCUAGCUAGCCAUAUGUGUCUGUCCACCUUAAUGGCGUAGCAUAUAGCCGCAUUAUGGUGUGACAUAAGCGUUGGACGUGAGCGUAGCGUAGUAGCCCUAUAUGAGCGUUUAAUUCUUAAUGGGGGUAUGGGCACAUAUUAUACACCCGUCUGUCAACCUUAAUGGCGUAGUGUAUCAUCGCAUUAAGGCGUGACGUGAGCGUUGGACGUGAGCGUAGUAGCCCUAUAUAAUUUCAUAAAAUUAUAUAGGGAGAAUGGACAUGUGUAAAUACAUAUAUAUAUAUAUAUAUAUUUUAGAGCUUGGGAAGCUCGAUAUUUAAGAGAUGAAAAUUUUAUCACUAGAGGCAUGCAUUCGUAUUUUUUUCCUUGGAAAUUGAAUUGGGAAAGCAUAAAUAUUUUAUUUAUUCUUUUAGUUAAAUUUAUUUUUGUCCACUCACUCUAACGUUAUUAAAUGUUUUCCCUUGGGCCCUUCGUUUUAAAAUGCCCAGUCUGCAGAGUUCGGGUUGGCACUAGUAGAAGGCGAGGCGUAGUUACCCACUUUUCCACCACUUUUCACCAGUAGGUUACCUGCUUAACCUACCAGUGUAUUUUCUUGCUUCCGCUAGUAUUAGUAGCUCUGAUUACCCUUGAGGAUAAUGUAUAUUAGCUCGGUUGUGUGCUAAGUCUUGGAUUUUUAAUUUGGAAUAUUUGAAGGUUGAACUUUGUUAUUUUUCUAAUUGGAUAUUUAUGUGAUGGAUUAGAAGAUGAUUUUAUUGUAUUGUUGUGGUGGUUGUAUUGUGGGGAGCGGGUGGCUCUAGGGGUUGAGGUUGGACGUGUCGUUAUAGGAGUGUGGUUUGAAUUUUUCAGGUUAGGGUUGUCCAUUUUCAAAGGAGGUUAUGCCGAAUUUUUUGGUAAAUUUUCCUUGGAGAUGGUCCUUGCAAGACUUACUUCGGGUUUCAGGAUGAAAUUUGGGGUGGGUCUUGACAAAUAUAUUUCAAAACUAUAUCAUAAUCCGAAAUUAUAAUAUAAACUCGGAAAAUAAAGUAAAAAAUUAUAAAAUCUUGCAUGCAUAUUUAUUAAAAACCAAAGUGUCCACUCACAAAUUUAGGCAUAAGCCCGACGAUAUCUGAAUCGCCACUCAAGUGAGAUCCCCCUCGUAUCCUGGCACAAUAAAAAUGUUUAGGACCAAACUUCAAUUCCGAAAAAUAAAUACUUAAAUAUAAACACCCAAAUCUCUUCCGCUUAACCCACUACUUUUACUAAAGUUAAUCUUAUCGGAUUCAUGCCAAACUCCACCCAUAACCUCAUUUCAUUUAUUUCAACCUUCUAAAACAGAAAUAAGGGAAAUCCAAUGGUAGAAUCUUCCCGAGAAACACACCGGUAAACCCAACUUCGAAUAAUCCCAAACAUAUUCUAGACUUCACCAUAAUUCUCAAACUUCACACCAUUGGACUCCUCUCAUCAUAACCAAAUUAAAUAACACAAAAAACUACCCAAAAGAGGCGGCACCGCCGUCUGCUCCAUCGGCAGCGGUGGCCGGCCACCCAACUCCGACCACCUCCAAUGGCUACCAAAUUUUGACACAAUCAUCCUCUCAAUAUUCUAAACAACUUUCAUAACUAGCACAAAGUCUAAUUUCAAGCCUAAAUAGGGUAAUCGAAGCCAAACAUUAAAAAUCCCAAUUUCAAACUCUAGAAUUUCAAACCUUCGAUUCUUCUUACCUAGCUCGAGUUAGGUUGAAUCCUUUUAAGGGUUUGCCGCACAAGAGGAGAGCUUCCAAAUAAUACUAGUAGCUCCAGCUAUGGUGGCCAGAAAAGGGAGUGUCCAGCGAAAACACCUCUGCGACACAGCCGCAACUUCACGGCAAAACUGCUCCUUCACGACGGCGCAACACGGGCUGCCACCUACCUAGACUUGUAGAGGAUACUCCAACCUUCAAAUCGAUACCAAACACGCCACCUAACUCGGCCAGACGACGGCGAACGGAGGUGGGGAAGUGGCCGGUCGGAGGAGAGGCGCGGGAGAUGAGAGAGAGAGAGAGAAAAUGGUAAGUUUCUGAUUUCUACCUUAUCUCAAAUGGUAAGUUUCCCUUUUUAUACCCCCAACCGAAAAUAGUAACUUUACAUUUUACACCAUAACUUUCACAUACGAACUCUGAUUUUAACGUAUAGCAUGUCCACGGAUUCGUAUUAACGUCCUCUACAACUUCCUUUAAGAAAUUUUCCCAAAAUACUUUUCCUACAAAAAGUCAACUCCAGGGUCCUUUAACAGUAAACGGUUACUCAACUCAGUAAAAGGUCAAAGUAACCUAAAAGUUAAUAACCGUAAAUUAACUUAAGAACCAGGAUGUGACAGAUUCAGUGUUUUGGUUUUUGCUUUAUGUCGAUAACUUGGAGUUUUGUGUAUACGGGGAAGCUAUGGCGAAAUUCCGGCAAGUGGCCGGAAUCCGGCAGAAAAUUUCGGCAAGUGGCCGAAAUCCGGCAGAAAUUCCGGUAAGUGGCCGGAAUCCGGCGAGGGCUUCUGGCAAGGCAGCAUAUUCGGCUGAGAGCCAUUAAGCUUAUUCGUUGGUUCGAUGAUUUGGAUGUUUGGGGGCAACGCUCGAGGAGUAUUCCGGGCUUUAUAUUGGGAAGUUAUAUAUUUAUAUUUAUGAGGAAAGUAUGUAUAUAAAUGUUAACUAGCCAUACAUGCCUGCCCGCCAAAAUGGCAUAGCGAUUAACCGCAUUAUAGUGUGACGUGAGCGUGAGACGCAAGCGUAAUAGCCCUAUAUGAGUGUUUUAAUUCAUAUAGGGGGUAUGGGCACAUAUAUAUACACCCAUCUGUCCACCUUAAUGGCGCAGCGAAUAACCGCAUUAUGGUGUGAUGUGAGCAUUAGACGCGAGCAUAAUAGCCCUAUAUAAAUUUCUUUAAAUCCAUAAAAUUUAUAUAGGGAGUAUGGACGUAUGUAAAUACAUACUUAUUUUUAUUAGAGCUUGAGAGGCUCGAUAUUUUAAAGUAUGGAGACUAGCGGGGCUAGUCGCGUAUUUCAGAUUUUGCCAAUUUUCUGAGUUAUGAGUUUUAUUAUUUAUUGUAUGCAGCGCAGUUUUCCUGAAUAGAUAAAUUUGGGAAAGCAUAAAGACUUGUCUCUUUUUGUCACACCCCAAUUUUUGAAGGAUAAAUUUCAAAAAUUUGGGCAUAAUAAAACUCAAAUUCUAAAUAUCCCAUAACCUGCUCAACAAAUUCCACAACUAAAAACAAACACUGGAAAUGUAAAUGUCGAUAAACUCAUCAAUCGAGUUAAACAUUUAAUCUCCUUAAUUACAUCAACUUCCAAAAGUCUAGUAAUAAACUACUUCGCUCACAUGAGCUCAAAAACAACUACCAUAAAAUACAAAUAAAUGUAUAUCGUCAAAAACCCAACUACUAGGCCACGGCCUCAAACCUUCUGAUCAUCACCUGUAGGCAUGAAUUGGUGCACCGGGUUGUAAACAACAAACCCGGUAAGCUAAAAAGCUCGUAUGAGUAACUCCCAAAAUAAUAACCCAACAUCACAUAUAAUUACAACUGGUAAUUCCUGCAAUUAGCAACUUAGUUCAGGAAUCGCCAAAAAGCAAGAGAAUUCAAAAGAAACAAUUAAGAAAACACAAUAAUUUAAAAUCAUUCAAAAUCAUAAAUGAAUCCUAUAAAUAAACAUAGUUCAAGAAUUCUAUUAAAAUCACACAAUUAAGAUUUAAGAAUCUUCUGCGGAUAAGCAUAGUUCAGGAGAUACUUAAAGCAAGAAAUUUAAACAACAUAUAAGAACAUCACGCAAACAUUUCUCUAUUCUUACUUAUGAGUUCGCCAACACUUAGUCAUCCCCCAUAAGUAACCAAACAAAUGCGUACUCAUGGAUUCGUCAACACUUAGUCAUCCCCCAUGAAAUACCGACUGACAGACUAGAGCUCUAUACUGACCGUAACCAAUCACCCGGCCAAGGCUUGGUUCCCGGUCCACCACGAAGGCUCCUAAUCUAAUAAUCACCACUAAGGCACACAUUUCAAUACUCUUCCAUCAUAACACUUAUCAAAUCACAAAAUAAUAAAUAUAAUCAUAACCGUAACCUAUCACCCGAUUAAAGGCUAGGAACCCGGUUUGACUAUUUAAACAACAAUUCAAAAUAUAAAAAUAUCAUCAACAACAACACAAGAGCACUUCAUAAAUUAUAUCUUUCCCACCUAGAUAUAUUUAUAUAAACAAAGACAUAGAUAUUCCCACUAGAAUAAUCUAUCAACAACCAUAUUUCAACAUCACCAUAUCACAUGAUUGAAAGUCUUUUUGAAAGAUUUAUUUUUAACAGAAAACUUGUUUUCACUUACCAUGAGCCGUUGACGAUCAAGCUCAUUUAUUUUUUAAAAAAAAGUCAUUUUCCUUCAAGGACAACUUCACUAUUAAUAAUAAUAAAAUUAUAAAAAUAAACUCGGAGAUUUACUCACAAUAUAAAAAUUGCAUCAUAAUCAUCAUAUCAUCAACAUUUCAUCAUUAUCAUUAACCUCAACAUCAUCAUAACAAUAAUCAUCAUUAUCAUUAACAUCACAAUCAUCAUCAUAAUCAUCUUCAAAAUCAACAUCAUAAUUAUUAUAAAAUAAUUGGUCCGAAAGUGGACCUUGGUGAGAUGUUACUCACCUAAAGAUCCCGCUGCGUCUUCACAAAAGAAACUCAAGAACAAGCACAACACCAACUUGUCCAACACCUAGAUAGCACAAAUCAACUUAGUGACCAACAAAACAAGUGAUUAUCACUUACUAGUUGCGACUAUGACAUUUCACUCUUGGACCUUGACCUCAAUUAACCCAAAGACUUGUCUCUUGAGAACAAGCUUUCCCCGAAGCCUCUCAAGAUCAUAGAAAAGUUGACACACACCAUGUCAUAUCUACAACAACAAUCUCCUUAAUUUCCAAAAGAUUAAUUAAGGGAAAACCGAAUCUAAUCCGAAAAGCAAUCACUCACAGCAACACAUACUAGCUAACACAAAAACUAACCCAUUCACAUUGCCCGGACGCGCUUCCACGCGCCGCCAAAGGCGACUGCGCGUGGGUCCCACGCGCCACCCCAAACUCAUUCUAUUAACUCUCCAAGCAACCCAAAACGACAAACAAGUGAAACCAAACAUCUUUCAUACCUGGAGUACUCGCCCAAUCGGUCGGAGCACGUCAGAAAACUGGCCGGAAGGUUGGAAAUCCUUCAUCGCAACUCCACACCGUGAGCCGCGCUAGAAAACCACCAGCAAACGAACCAGGACGCCAAGGAGCAUCUAUCCCGACUGGUUCCAAGCUGCGUCGCCGCCGCACACGGCCGGAACACCCUCGGGUCGAAGUCGGGUCCGCCAACCUCCGCUGCAACGCUCGAUUCUCUCAAACCCGCUUGAGUCGUCUUCACCCACCUACACAGAGAAGAUCACGCCGAGGAUAGGAAGAGUUUCCAACCGAUGCCGCUGUCUGAGUCCGCCAGAGUUGGCCGGAAAAACCGGGUCGGGUCAACCGGGUUCGGGUCGGGUCAGCUGGAAAACUCAGAUACCGAAGGUAUCUCGAGAGAGAGAGAAGGGAGGGAGAAAGAGAUGGUUCCGGUAAAAAAUGAAAGGGAAACUAACACUUUUCUUAUUUAACCCUAAAUUCCUUUAAAACCACAAACUUCCAAUGACCAUAACUUCCAUAUACGAAAUCCGUUUUACGCGUGCCACAUGUCUACGAACUCGUAUCGUCGUGCUCUAUAACUUCCGUGAAGGAAGUUUUCCAAGAAACCCAACAGAUUAAAAAGUCAACUCUUGACCCUUCAAAAAUCAUAAAACCCUUUCGGGUAAAUUACGCGUCUGAACACUUCCACUCUUUCUUCGAACCUCAAAAACACACUAACUUCUAACUCAAAAACUCCUAAAUACUAUUAGAAACUAAUAUCAAAAUUUCGGGGUAUUACACUUUUAAACUUUAUUUUUGUCCACUCACUCUAAUGUUUUUUUUUAAAUUGCUUCUCCCCUGGGCCUUUCGGUUUUAAAUGCCCAAUUUGCAGGAUAACUUAGUUGAGAUCGGACGUACAUGGAGAUGAGGCAUAGUCCAUUUUAUAGCUUCUGCCUAUUUGUAUAUUUUUGUUUAUUUCUUUCAAGAUUAGAGUUGCUCUGAGCCUAUGAUUGUUAGUUGUGGGUUUAUUUUUAGUUUAGUAAAUAAAUUGGGAGGUUAUGCCGAAUUUAGGGAGCACGAAGGCUCCAGGAGUAUAAGGUUGGAUUUGGAUUUUUAGAAGUGUUUGCAAGUGUUUUUAGGAAGGGUUAUCCAUUUUUAAGGGAGGUUAUGCCGAAUAUUCGGUAGAAUCUCCUUUGGAGGUGGUCCCCGUAGGGUUUACUUCGGAUUUCAAGAUGAAAUUUAGGGUGGGUCCUGAAAUUUUCUCUGCAAUAUACUCGAUAUCAUUUUUACAAUCUACUACCUUCAUUGAAGUAGAUAUAUAUAAUACUGUCACUCUUACUUGAGAAUAUGGAACCAUAUAUAACACUACACUUGAACAUGUAUGAACCAUAUGUGCACUACACUGGAACAUUUAUAAACCAUUCAUUGAAGUACAUGCAUCAGUAUAUAGUGGUACUCGUGCCUUGCAACUUUUGUAAUGAAGUACGCAAUCUUCUAGAUUAAACAGACAAAAACGCAUUAAUGACUCUGGAAAUCAGAAAAUUACCUUGUAUAUAUUUGGAUUAAGAAUUUCUGACUCACACUGGCCUUUUUUCCCCACAGCUUUUAGCUCUUACAGACUCAUGAGUUUCUUAGCAGGGCUGUCAUGAGUUUCUGCAUUUUUAUAACCAUAAAAUCAGAGAUGUUG